AGCUUUUCUUUCUUUUUUUUGCACCUGGGUUCUUAGCCACUGAGCCACAUCCCCAGCUCUUUUAUUUGUUUGUGUGUUUGUUUGUUUAUUAUUUUGAAGGAAGGUCUUGCUAAGUUCCUCAGGGCAUUGCUACAUUGCUGAGGCUGGCCUUGAAUCUGCGAUCCUCUUGCCUCAACCUCCUGAGCCUCUGGGAUUACAGGUGAGUGCCACCGUGUCCGCUCUUGGGCAGCUUUAAAAGACUCGAUCAAGCUGCACCUCAGAUUCUCCUUCUGUAAAAUUAGAGUGUUGGGGAAAAGGUCACUUCUUUGAGUGAAGGAAUGAGGAGUUGAAGGAAUGAGGUCAAGAUCUGCGGCCAGCCACCUCUCUCCUUCAGUCUUGUUUGCCACUCGGAAAACUCAGUGGCAUGAAGUGAGACUCAUUCUUGUUCCCAGCUGAAUGGGGCACCUGGAUAGCUCUUCUGGUCUCACCCCGGCUCACCUGAGCAUGGCCUGGGCUGUGGGUUGGGGUCAGCUAGCUGUCAGUGGUUUACAAUGGCCUCAGCCAGGACCACUGGGUCUCCUUGGCUUGCCCAUGCCCCCUGGGCAGCUGAGUGGCCGUGAUCUCCGGCAACUGCAGAGGAGCAGGGUGCAAGCAAAAGCAGGCAAAGGCAUUUGAAAACCUGGCUUGCUUCAAAUUUGCUCACGUCACAUUUUUCAAAACAAGGCCCCAGUGAUUCCUAAAGCCUGUGACUGAGGACCGGGGCAGAGGGUCUCAGCCAGAUCCUGUACGGCAGUCCUCCUGGAUUCUCGAGGCAAAGAAGGGCUGCAGCAACUAAGCCAUCACAGUCACGUGGAGGGUGCCAAGCCCUUGCUGCCCACCACAGAAAUGCACACCUGGGAGAAGCCUCGGAGACUUUUAAAGCAUGGCCCUUUUACCGGAUAUUCUUGCUAUAAAACACAGUUGUUUCCCUCUUCCUUCUCUUACUCCUUAUCAUCUGGCUUAGGAGGCAGCAUUCAAAUUGGAGUCAUAUUUGCUAAAAUCUCCUCAAAAGCAGCUCAGAGAGAAAUGUGGAAGUUCCCAUGGGCUGGCUUGUCCGGGCUCGCGUCCCUGCCCCCGUGCGUGUGCAUGUGCGAUUGUCGUAUGCCACACGUCGCUGACGUUUUUUAUCUCUCCCUUUAUGUGAGUGGAUAUAAUUCAAUGGUCGUUGCAGCGUAGCUGUCAGCACCACGUUGGAUGAACAAAGCCGUAGUUUGCGGCUACGGCAGGAUGUGACCAGGAUGCUACAUUUGUUUACGUACACACCCCCACCCUUCUUUUGACCAUAACAGCUAGGCACUAUUUACAAAAUUAAAAGCAUGAAUUGCAUGAGCAUCUAUAGUGAGUUGCAUUUAAUAAGUCCCCAGCUCGUGCCAGAAAUGUCGCAACUGACUAAUAAUGAUGAGUAGAGCAGCUCCCAACUACCACUCUGAGCAGCUGCAGAUUUUGCAAUUUCUGUCUCACAAACAUCCACUUGCCUCAACAGGGUUGGGGGUCCUGAGGGUCAACCCAGGGAUGGGGCUCAGCCUGGAUCAUCAGAACCUCCUGCAGGAAUGGUGUGCUCAUGGAAUAUGAAAGGACUUGGACCUUGACAGCAGGGUCAGGUCUCAGCACUCCCCCAGCUCCGUCAUCCUGGGGCUGCUCCCCCUUCUCCUCUGCUCCCCUCCUCCUCCCCACAUUUCUUCCUGUUCCUCUGCUCCCCCUGCUCCCCUUGAUCCUCUGUUCCUCCUGCUCCCCCUCCUCCCCAUGCUCCUCCUGCUCCCCCUCCUCCCCUGCUCCUCCUGCUCCCCCUCCUCCCCUGCUCCCCCUGCUCCCCCCUCCUCCACACCACAGCAGGUGUCAAAGGAGGGCAGGGAAUCAUACCCAAUAUCUGACAUGAAGAGAGUCACUGUCCUGUGCACCAGUGUGCAGUCAGAUCUUCACUUACAGACUCAACACAUUUGCCGGGGACCAUGUCUACUUCACAUUUCUUCCCAAGGCCUUUUGUCAUCUGCCCCCAACUAUAGAGGCUCAGAACAUGAAUGUCAUUUCUUCUUGAAACCAUGAAGCAAUAAGCCUAGGCAAGGAAAGCCACCUCUGAACAUAGUAGACAUAGUGGAGAUGAGGGAUAGAACGUGGCAGGUUCCUGGUGAUACCCCUGAGCUGAUGGACCAAUGUUAGGGCAGCCCACCUUCAAGUUUUCUGAUAAAAGAGUAUAUUUCAUUUGGCUUAAACUACUGCUUGUUGCUUGAAGACAAGGGCAUUAUUAACCCACAUGAUCUCAUGCUAGGGAAUUAGAUUACUAUUGAAAUCUAAUGCCCAGGACAUUGCUGCCCAACCUAACCUAUUUGCUAGGCGUAUGGCAGAAGCAAUGAUUCACAAAUUCUGCCCUGGUAGCAGCUCCAGGCCUGCCAGGGAUGGUCAUGCUAAGGACAAUGGGGACAACUUGAGUGAUAGGCAGGGUCUGGUGGUCUCUGACAAUUAUUUUUCCCUUUUUCCUCUAAUGACACAGAAACACACUGGGUUAGAUAUGUUUUAAGCAGUCCAGUAGCCUGAGUUAAUUUUCUACAGAAAGUCAGAUGGCUUUUCACAGAACACAUUAUGGCAUUGGGACUCCAGGCAGAAAAUGAGAGGACAGCCUCCCUGUGACCACAGUGCUUGAAAAGACAAGGUGGUCUUGGAGGACCAGGUCUGUGGGGCACCAGACACAGAGCCUUAGCAGCAGGACCUCAUGGCCGGCGACACUGCAGGGGGUGCGAGUCCACAACUGCACAUGGACAGAAGCUAGGGAGCCAGCACCGUCGCUGACCAGCACUGUCUCAGCUGGGGAGCGCCGUCACAUCAACAGGGCCAAGUGACUUGGGGAUAUACAGAUCCAGCAUGCUCAUGCCCUCGAAGGGCGGCAAUGAGAAGGGCACACUGUCUCUGUGAUUGGUCCAACAAGACCACACCCCCAUCUCCUUGUGACAAGCAAUCAGGUAGCACCCACUCAGAUGGCACUGUCCAAAAUCUUUGACCAGUCCUCUUCUUAGCUGUCAAAGUCAUCAGAACCAAAGAUAGGCCAAAAACUGUCAUGGCAAGCGCUGCUUAAGGAUACCUGAUGGCUAAGUAUGAUGUGGCAUCCUUGAUGAGGUCCUGGAUCAUAAAGAGGGCGGUAAAAAAUGAGGACAUAGAACCAAGUGUGAACUUGAUCUCACAAUAAUGUAUCAAUACUGGAUUGUUGUUUAGGACAAAUGCACUUUGCUAAUGUGAGAUAUAAGGACAACUAGGUAUGGAGUGUAUUGAAACCCUCUGUCCUGCGGGAACUGUGUAAAUUCAAAUCUUUUAAAAAUAAUGAGUAUAUUCUAAAAACAUUGUAAAUGAAAGACACAUUACACAUAAAAUAAUACAUUUAAAAAUAAUCAUGAAGUUCUUGCUAAAAUUAUGCAAGCAGAAGACAUUGGAAGACACACUUAAAUGCUAAGAAAAAUAAAUCAACCCCAAAUCCUCAAGCCAUAGAAAAUGAUUUUCAAAACUGAAGGUGAAAUAAAGACAUGAGGACAGACAUUCAGAUCAAUGGAAAUGAACCCAUGUGAAUAUCGUCAAUUGAUUUUCAACAAAAACUCCAACAGGGAAAGGAUGGUCUUUUAAACAAAUGGUGCUGAAAUUGCCUAGGAAGUUGGAGAGGGAGCCGAGAACUGGGUGCUUAUUUCACUCUGCAAACUGAAAGGAAAUUGCAGUAGACGGCAGGAGUCAGCGUGAACGGCAAAACCUUACACUUCUGGAGAAGCACGGAAAAAGGAUGUGCAGACAAGGCGAAGAAGUCACUGGUCAAAUCCAAAAGGUACACACCAUACAUUUUAAAGAGUGGUAACUGGAAAACAUCUGUUGCUUUGAGAGAAAUCUUUAAGAAAAUGAAAAGGAAACAUAAUCUGGGAAAAAUCAUCUUUCUUUCUAUCUACCUACCUACUUACCUACCUAUCCAUCUAUCUCCAUCAUCUAUCUAUAUCUAUCUAUGUUUUAUCUAUCUCUCUAUGUCAUCUAUCUAUCAUCACCCAUCUCCUCUCUCUCUACCUCUAUCUCUGUCCCUAUGUACAUGAAUCUGACAUAGGGACUACCUUCCACAUGGCGUAAAGAACUCCUAGCAGUAAAUUAUGAUAAAACAAGCAAAACUUGCUUAAAAAACGACUACAAAAUAUGAACAGAUAUGUCACAAAAAGAAAAUAUAGAGAUCUAGCAUACUCACGAAAAGGAGCUGAAUUUUACUUAAGUACCAAAAAAUACAAAUUAAAACCACCAUCUGAUAUGCCACUUGGACUGGCCUGGCAUGGCUUUAGGCACUAGGAUGGCUAAGACGUAAAGGUGGACGUGUGUCAAGUGCUGGUGAGGAUAUGGAAGAGGCUGAGGUAUGGGAAGCAUCUGAAAACCUUCUUACAGUGAAACCUCCACUUAAUGGCAAAUCCUGCUUGACUAUUAUCAGAGAUAAAUGAAAACAUUUGUCCAGGUAAAGAAAGAAAACAUCUACUAAAUUAAUUACUCACUUUUUUAUCAGAUUAAUAGUCUACAAAACUGCUUGCUGUUAAGAGUGGAAAAUAAUACAAACUCUAGAAAAGUGAUUUGAAAAUAUGCAGCAAAAUUUAAAUAUAUAUUCACCAUGAUUCAGGAAAUAAUUCCACAAAGAUAAGUGCCAAGUGAUUAAAACUAUAUAGUAUGUGGGUAAUCCUUGUUUCAUUGUUUAUAGAAGCAAACUAUUGCAAAUAAUCAUAAUGUCCACAAAGGAGUCUGGUUAACUAAACAGCUUUAAGUUUUGUAUUUAAAUUUUUUGAAUAAAGAUAUUCACUCCAGUAAAAAAAAAUGUUCACUACAUUUAAAGCAAUUUCAGUUCUUAAAUGAUCAAAACCCAGCAAUAAUCCAUGUGUCCAUUAAUUCAUGAAUGUGUAGAUGAAUUGCAAUAAACCACACAGUAGAAAAUUACUCAGUAAUAAAAAGUAGCAAAGUACUACCUUAUUUCUGAGUACAUGAAGCCAGAAGGGAACCUGGGGAACGUUAUGUAAGUAAAAGGGGUAAGACAUGCUGUGGUCUCUGUUAUCGGAAAUUCUGUGAGAGGCUAAGCUGCUUCUGGAUGGUAGAAACUGGGGCAGUGGUUGCCCAGGGCAGGGUGAAGCUAUCAAAAAGAUGCAUGAGAUGAUUGUGGGGGAUGAAAAUGUUCUUAGUGUUGUGCUGGGAGUGACAAGGGUCUAUCCUUUACUCAAACCUCACUCAAAGUGUGCUUGAGGUGGACAUGUUUUUUAAUAUAAAAUUUUCCCCAAGAAAGGAAUGCAAAAUUAUAUUGGACCCCGAUUGUGAGUAGCCUUCCACACCAGGACAGACCCUCCCUGGUCACGGGGCAGUUGGGCUUACUGCCACUUGCUCUUAGCCCAGAGCAGCAUCUGCUGCCGCAGCUGCACAGGAGGCCUGGCCUCCGUUCUGUUCUGUGCGUAGAUUAGCUGGCAUUGCUGAAAGAAUGUCCACGCAGGGACUUUGAUCUUUGUAGAAAAACUCCUUUUUUUUUUUUCUUUCUGGUUUUGCAGAGUGGUAUCAUCGGAUUGUGUUUGCAAAGUGGGGCUGAGGUGGCUGUGUGGCAGGUGGGUGUCACACACUGGGCGUAGUGAAGGCCUGUCAGUGGAAUCGAUGAGCAAACACAGGGCGGUCGCACUCCUGUGGCACCAUGUUGUUUUCUUGUUGCACGAGUCUCCUGGAAAUAUGGGUGUUUAACCCAAUGGAGGGAAAGAGGAGGGUGUUGCCAGGUGACCUGCCAGGAUGCUUCCUAAACUUGAAUGAGAGAUGAGAGGAUGUCAGCAUGGGAAGCAGGGGGAUGGAAACGUGCGCCUUCACAUUUUAAAUGAACUGUUAACACCAUCUUCUCCUGCAGCAUGGGUCUUGAGUAAUGUGGUCAGGAGCUUGAUGACUCCGGGGAAAUAUGACCCGAGAGGAGGAAGCCUUUCUCUCUUUGUCUCUCUGUCUCUGUCCCUGUCUCUGUCUUGGACUGAUGAGACUGAACAAUGUCAUUACAACUUUCCUGCUGAUGCAAAUUCAAAACUUUGCGCAUCUCAGCUUCACCUUUAAGAGAAGCUGCGUUAUUGCCUUCAUAACGGGAGCAGCAAAUCAGGAAUUAGAAGGAAGGCACACUGACAGUGAUUGAUACCCAAGGCUUUCUCCUGAUUCGCUGAUUAAACUCUUCAAUCUAUAUGCAGAUGUGUCCGAGGCAAAUGGAGGCACCCAGGCUUAACGGAUCUGGUUGUCAGGACCAAGGUGGAGAGGAGCUCCCGGCUUGGUGCACAGAAUACGGGGGAAGGGAAAGGUGUGCUAGGAGAAUGUUUACCUCCGAAGUGUGGGAAGCCCUAGGGAGGAGGGCGUCCCCGGAGAGGCCUGUGAACGCUCUCCUUGAAGGGGUGGGAGUGAGGAACGACUGCUCCCCAGGGUCCAAAAGACUGGCACAUUUCUCCUCCGGAGACUGGCAGCUCUCUAGGGGACUUAGGGCCAGGGAGAGACCCUUGCUCCCUUGCCUGCUGAUUAACUCUUGCUCAGCCUGUUAGAUGCAGACUGGGACCUGUCUUCACGUGGCUUGGCUGCUGGCCUUUCCCUGGGUCCUGACACUCCCCCCCUCCCCCAUCCCGAGAAGCUGGGUGAGCAGAGCCCUGUCUACGCUGGCACUGGGCUCUGGACAUGCGCUGCCCACAGCCCUGUCCUCCUGUGUUGGGGUUCUGUGUUCUUUUGUUUGGUAACCGUUAGAGGCGGGCCUCUUUGAGGAGCAGGACUUGGUGUGGCAGACCCCUCAAUAGGGAGUGGCUGGUACAUGACCAGGCAUGGCGUGGGUGCUGCUGCCUGCUGGUGAGGGAGCUGAUCUUUGGCUGGCUCUCAGUACUCUGUCUGUCAGCGGCCCUCGCGAGGGAUUGUUCCUGAACAUUUCUCCAUCCUGCGCCGCCCCUCCCCCAUGUCAGAUUGCUAAGUUUGCCCUAACAUUUGAACACAACCCGAGAGGCUUAAAUCAAUAAAUAUCUGUUGUUUCACAGCUCUGGAGACUGGGUGUCCCAAACCAGAGUGCCACCAGUGCUGCGGAGACUCCUCCCUUUUCCUUCCAUUUUAUUGGUGGCUCGAGGUUUUCCUUGGCUGGUGGCUCUGGUUUCUGUCCCAGUCUUCAGCUGACCUCCCUUCUCUGCAUUCCUGGAUUCUCUUGGAAUUCUCUUAUAAUUCACAGUUUGCCUCUGGACCUGGGGCUACCUUAAGCUGACAUGACGUCAUCUCUUGAUGCUUCCCUCAAUCAUAUUUGCAAUGGCCCUUGUUCCACCCAGGAUCUCAUUCUGAGGUUCUGGGCAGACUUACUUUGGGGGACACCACUGUUCAGCCAUAAGACACCCCUCUCCCCUGCCUAAGGUUGCCACAUCUUUCUGAGCCAUGCGAGCUUAGGUCUCACUUUCAGUUCUUGUGGUGGCUGGUAGGAGCUUCAGACAACCAGCGUUCCGCAUCCCGUGGCCACAGUGAUCAGUCCAGACCAGAGCGGGGACACUAAACUGCUCAGGCCAAGGUUUGGAAAGGACUGGAACAAAAGUAACUUUGGGUCCUGAGAACCCUUCUGUCAGAAGACAAAUGAAUGAUCCACACAGAGAAGAGAAAGGGAAGCUGUGUGCACACCCGCACACACCCACACCCACGUACUCACAGCCACACUUGGAGAAGAUUGACUCAGUAGUGCUGGAGGAAGUGGGAGAGAGAGAGGUCGAAAGAUAAAGGAAGAGGCUUUAACCUAGGUCCUUGCACUUGAUAAAUCAGCUCUGCCACCUGAAAUCAGUGUAGUAGUCAACUUGGGCCCUGGAAAGCCCUUCUGCCAGUGGGUGGCCUUAGGCAGGCCAGUGGGUCAGAGAGAUGUUGAGAUGCCCACCUGCCCUGGCACCAGUGUAAGUCAGGGGGUUGACUCCAGGACCCCAAGUUGCAACCGAGAGGGAGAGAGGCCCAGUGGCGCUCCGUUGGUUUGCUAGUGAAUGUGCUAAGCCAGUUACUGAUGGCUUUAGUCCCAGAACAUGCCCCUCUGUGUCACCAUGGGGAUGCUUUCCAAGCUUGUAACACUGAGUGAAAGCUGGCCCUUCGCAAGCUGACAGAUUCAGGGCGCUUCUGUUGGUGUCUUUCUCUUUGACCUUCCAAGUUACCUGUCACUAAACCUCUGUAUACCAGUAAAAUAAGUGUAAUAGCGAUGCCGACCUUGGGACAUUGUUAUGGCAAUUAAAUAUAAUGUUGAUUUCAUGCCUAACACAGAGGAGCUACUCACACAGGUGUGUGUUUUAUAGUCUCCCUAUCAUGUCCUCUCGCCAGCUUUAUCUCUUUUCAUUACGUUGACGGUAAUCUUCAAAGUCGUCGCCGGCCUUCCCACAGCACAGAUGUCAAGACAAAGUGUAUACAGACUGUCAGCAAAGGGGGUCCUCUUAAACUUAUCCAUAGUGUCUUAGUCAGAGGGCAGGUAGUUAUUUAUUUUACAUGUGGAGAUUAUUAAAAGUAACAGAAAGGACAUGAAAGAAAUCAUUACCUAAAACAAAUCAUCAUUGUUAUUAAUAACUAUCAUGGUAGUAAAAUAAAAAUAAUAAUAAAUGCCAGGAGAAGAGAAGGCUGUCCUCAUGUCCUCUGAGCUGUGAUGAAAGAAGGGAAGGGACUUCUAUAGGUCCAGGGCCUACUGGAAACGGGCACUGUCCUUCACAUGUGGUGUUCCACUCUACCCUGCCCCAACCUUCUGGGGACUAGUGACAGGAGAGAGGGUCCCCUAGUGAGCAGUACAGAUAAUAAAGUAGGAGCCAUGGCAGGCCAUGCAAUUCCAAGGGUAAGCACAGAAGCAGCCUGAGGGAACAGUUUGCUUAUGUUAGGAAGGACAGCGAGGGAAGGUUCUGGAACUUGAGCAUCGAGGAAGUCUGUGUCUCUCAUCUUUCUGAAAGAAGCCCUUUCUUAGACACCCCCUGUGGCCUCAUUCCACCCUUUUAGUUGUGGGGAUAAUGACAGGGGGAUCCGGCUGCUCUGCUGAUGAGUGGCCUAUGUGGGAGCCCCCCAGGGCCUGAGGACUGGGCACGGAGGACGAAGAAACACACCUGGGACACAGGAACACACCUGGGAGAAGACGUGGCAAGGCACUCUCAUGAUCCUAUGCUUGUAAAUUAUACAUUAAAUUCAGUAACUCAGAACAACUUCCUGGAAAUAGACACUUCCACCCCAAACAACCGUCUAGUUCUAAUUCCUCUCUGACUCCUUUUGGGCUGACAGCACUGAGGAAAAGCACCUUAAGGCUCUUGGAGUUACCGACACUAGAGAGGCCACUCUCCCCUUCUGAAUCUUCUUACACUGACUCAGAACCUCCUUCUCUUUGGUUUGAACUGGGAAAUGUAAUUGUGAGUUCCAGAAAUAUCCAUUUCAUGUGAAUCUCGUGCCGCUCAAGGCUGCCCUGAAGGCCUCCCACCCCCCACCCACCUUCCACAGAACAUCCCUAACACCUCUUCCAGCUCACUUGAAUCUCCCUUCUGUGAGAUAGUAGCGCUCAUAAGAAGGCUUCCCACAGUCCAUCUCUGCAUCAGACUCCUUCUAGAACUCAACCAAAUAGAGACAUCUCUCAUGUUUUGCUCUGCAAUAUUCCAGGUUUACUUAAAAAAAAAAAAAAAGAUAGUGUGCAGUAAACUAUCAACUGUCCUCCUAAAGAAUGUACAGAUGCCCUCUCCACCAACGUGUGUGAACCAUUAGGGGAUUUCAAGACUCCUGAAACACAACUGCGGAUCCAUCACCAGGCCCAGACACCAGGCCUUCAGACUCCCAGGAUAAGGAUUUCAGUGAACAGGCUGCGCCAUACAUGCUGAGUCUGCAGCCUGGGUUAAUUGUUUAUCUCCCUGAGGACUCUGAGCAGGUCUUGCCCCUUGCCUGCUUGCCCCAUGACUGAUUUACAUUCAGGAUCUGAGGCUCUGUUGACCUAUGCUGAUACACUGUGUCCUUCAUGUGGCCUCUGGGCAGCCCUCAGCCCAUCAGGGAGCCCCUCUCAGUGCCAUUCCUACACCUGCCAGUAGGGGAAGAGCUGAGUCUAACUCUUACCAUGGCUCAGGGAGCACCUGGGAUGGUUCAUUAAAAGACACCCAGCCAUGCACGUUGCACAGGUAGAAACUCUGUUUAAAUGUUAGCUUCAAGUAACGCAGGGAAGGCUUUUUCAAUGACUUAAGACCCGAAAAUGCUGUCGAUGUCUGUGGAACUGAUCCGGGAACCAACUCUGAAACAGGUGGAAGAGAUAUGAGUGCAGAUUAUUAAUAGCAUCCCCCCUGGGGUUUGCAGCUCACUCAAAACUGUUAGCAUUAAUUUAAAAAAUAAUCUCUGUGGCCCAUGUUCUGAAAAAAGACAAAGUAAACAUGUAGCUAUAUCCCACUGUAGGUAACCUUCUGCGAUAGUCUUCACCUUAGGCUGACUAUUCCCCAAAAGUUGCAUACAUUAGGAAUCUUCGGUUGCAAAUAACAGAAUACUCACCUGGAUGAGUUGAAAGGAGAAAGAGUCAUUGGCUGAUCAAACCUGGUAAAAUGGUUAGUUACACCUUGGAUGGGGCUUUACCCCCAGUCACAGGGAACAGUGUGACCAGUACUCAGAUUCUUCACUCUGCCUCUGUCUCCGCCUGCCCCCUCCAUCUACAGCCUCUGCCAACUGGGGCCUCUUCUCUAGGUUCUUUCCUCAUGGUGCCAACAGGGCUGGCAGCAGCUCCAAGGGAUUCACAUUUUCCUCCAUAUUUCCAGGGAAAGUUGAAGAAUCUAAUUCCGCAAAAGGUCUAGGGAAUCAAGACUUUCUGGUUUCCCUGUAUGUUUUGUUUCUGUUUCUCAAAUGGCCCACCUCUACACAUCUAUUUGUUUAUAUUGUUCUGCAAAGUGGUGAGUAGUACCUUCAUGGAAUUAGACGCACUUACAUCUACUGUAUAGAUGCACCUUUUCUAGCUCUUACUAAAAUAACCUCUUCGUGCAUUCAUUCAUUUGACAUGUAUUUAUUGAGCACUUGAUGUGUGCCUGGUCCAGGGACAUGAGCAAGCAGCAGCCAUGGGGUUUUCUGCAUUGAUGCAGUCAAUGUCCCUGUACCCCAGUGAAAGCAAUGACAGACGCUGAAUACUUACAGAAGCUAGAACAGCUAUUCAACUGUGGCAAGUGCUAAGAAUCCGUGCCAUGAGUUACCGAUGUCAUAGGAGAAUCAGGGUGUUAAGGAAGUGUCACCCUGGAGGCUGCUUGAGAGUCAGGUGAGCAUGUGGUGCGGACGGGAGGGAAAGGGCAGAGCACUGCAGACGGGGAGCAUCACCUGUGUCAGGAGGGGACCUACCACUUUCAAAUCUCUGGCAGGAGACCAGAGUAGCUCUAGGGUGCAGAGCAGGGGGGGCUGGAGGGCCAAGCUGCAGCAGCAGCACAGUCUGAUAACCAGGAGGAUGAGCACAUCUGCCUGCCAACAGGGACACGGGAGGGAGUGAGAACAGGUGUGUUAAUGCUUAUGCUGGAACCACAAGCUCAAACCGCACUAGAAAACCCGGGGUGCAUGGUCACGCCACUUAAGGCUAAGAGAAACAGCAGGCCACGGAGUCAUUCCAAGUCCUGCAAUGCCUGAUCUUUACACUAGAAAUGUUGACUCUGGUUCCAAUGUGUCACCAGAUGGGAAGGUAGCAAGAAGACUGUCACUCCGAGAGGUGUGUAACUGAGGAGAUAGAGAAAAGUAGCCUAGUUCAGCAGACGGUACAGAGGUAGAGAGGAAAUGCACACCUUUUGAGUCUCAUGGGAAGGGGCUGAGGGAAGCAGGCCACCUGGAGGCCUCUUUAGGAGCUAUUGGAAGCAGAUGGUCUUGCUGGGGGCUGGCCAACAGGUUGAGACAGGGUGCCUGUUUGAGAUGUCUGGGAUGCUGGGUCCUUGACCUAAGCACCCAGAGCUUCCGGAACUUCCCAUUUUCAGGUGAGCCCCACCUUGUGUCUCCAAAACCAGAUCUAUCUCUCAUAGAUGCCACAGCUCCAACUGCCUUCUUUGUGCAUAGUUAAGAUUUGCAAGAUAUUUAAAAAUAUAAGACAUCCUUGAGGAAUUCAAUAAAUGGUACAUCUGCUAAAUAAAAUUUUUUGAACUAGGAAAAUCAAUAUUAAAUCAAUAAAAGCCCAACUGCCUUUGUCCUCAACAGGAGCUUCAAUGGCUUAAGGUGGGCAGAAUCGGCAUUCUAGCGACAGUCGCUUGAAUGACAGAGCACUGAGCAGAGGACUCCCACAAGACCUUGUAAUUUAGAGUUCUGUGUUUUCCUGCAUUGUGUUUGGUCCUGGUCUCUAGUUUUCUUUUAUUCUGAGGAAAUCAUCAUGUUUAGUGUCUUUCCUGGCAUUGUUUGUGAGAUUCCCAGAUCCUAGCAAGGCUCAGAUGCCUGCCGUGCACUAUAUUUGGGUAUUAAAUCAAUCACAGACUUAGAAGCUGCAUAUUAUUCUAAGCAAUUCAUUUAAUAUUUUAUCAAGAAAAUGUAAUUAGGAUUUUCUCAAAACAACUUUCUAGACAAUCAGGGGAAACAGCCACAAUCAAUUUAUAAGAUUGGUUGUAGCAAAAACUUCUUGUGUAAAUGGGCCAUGAUUCUAAAUUUCUGUGCAGUUCUAUGAAUCUCUUAUAGUGGGCAGCACAUGGGUGGACAUGGUCCCUUGACAUGAUCAAAGGAGGAACCACAGAUAACCAGUGAACAAAAGUACAUGCCCUAGUAGGCCACCUCUGAUUAAUUCAGCUUAUAAUGUGAUCUUAUUCUGAGAUUUGGUAUUUGUACGUGGCUGUGCAGAGGCCUGGCUGAAGGUACUGAGGUGAUAAUGGCAUGCAGCUGUCCCCUUAGAGUGCACAUUCUCAGGGGAGAGGCAGGGGUAACACAAAAUAGAAGGGACAGUGAGAGAAUGGAUGAGGAGGUUAUUCUAACCAUAUAGCUGCAGUAUCAGGUGAGGGACUCGCCCUCAGCCUUCAUCUUCAGGUUGUAAAUUACAAAUCCCCACCUGGAUCAGCCCUGCAGGCCUGUGUGUGCCUGGGUGUGAUGCGGAGCCCCUUCUAUUCCCAUCUGCACUCACCACCACCCUUUUCUCAGUGCACAACCCAUUCUCAGCUCAGAGUCCUCUUCCCUGCAGUUGGCAACCCCAUGACAGGUUCCAGCCAGUAGAAUGGGAACAACAAUGGCAGCUGUCACUUCCAGGUCCAUGAAAUCCCUGUUUCUAGGAGGAAAAAAUAUGGAACUAAUUAUUUUUGUUUUAGCCACACCUCUAAAAUGAUCCAAAAGUGCAAUAAUAGGGAAAUGGUUAAAUAAAGCAUGUUCUAUCUAGGGGCCCUUUCCCUCCAUGAGCUCCUUCCUCCUAAAAUAAAUCUUAUCUGCAAUGAUGGCACUGGACAGACAUUCCAAUAUUAUCAUGUAUUAAAACAGAUCUUCUACAAAGAAAAGCUCCUUUUCCUUCUGAUGUUAUAAAACAAACUGAGCCAUUCUAAUGAGAUCUUAAAUGUAUGAAGACCCUAGGCACCUUGCCUGCUGCGUCUGAUGAAGAAAGUGGCCCUGGUGUAAAAGAAUUGUUUACUAUUAAAAAAAAAAUACCCACGACAAGUAAAUAUGUCAAAUGUUGUAUGUUGGACUUUCAACGAUGGGACUCUGGGUAAAUAUGCUCUUAUGUUUCUUUUUUCUUUACUUUCAAAAAUCAUCUGCUAAUGAUGUAGGAACAAAAAUAAAACAAACAAUAUCAUGAGUUUUCCAAGAUGCCAGGUUGAGUAUUGGAGGGUCUCCCUUUUCUCUUCCCUAGAUCUCUGCUAUAACUAUGUUUCUCACAUGUUGAGGAAGGUUUUUAAAUAACAAAAUGCUCAGUGCAGCAGCUAAACAUGUAGGUCUCAGAAUGAUUGCUAAGUCUGACACCAUCAAGUGUUGAGAGCCACAGCCAAAGGGGCCCCAGCAAACUUCCAGCUGCCAGCAAACUUCCAGCUGCUGGCUGAUGAUUGGCUCACAGCGGCCCCAGCAACAUCUAGCUGAUUGGCUCCUCUGCGGUGAUGCUCCGUGGUCUGANNNNNNNNNNNNNNNNNNNNNNNNNNNNNNNNNNNNNNNNNNNNNNNNNNNNNNNNNNNNNNNNNNNNNNNNNNNNNNNNNNNNNNNNNNNNNNNNNNNNNNNNNNNNNNNNNNNNNNNNNNNNNNNNNNNNNNNNNNNNNNNNNNNNNNNNNNNNNNNNNNNNNNNNNNNNNNNNNNNNNNNNNNNNNNNNNNNNNNNNNNNNNNNNNNNNNNNNNNNNNNNNNNNNNNNNNNNNNNNNNNNNNNNNNNNNNNNNNNNNNNNNNNNNNNNNNNNNNNNNNNNNNNNNNNNNNNNNNNNNNNNNNNNNNNNNNNNNNNNNNNNNNNNNNNNNNNNNNNNNNNNNNNNNNNNNNNNNNNNNNNNNNNNNNNNNNNNNNNNNNNNNNNNNNNNNNNNNNNNNNNNNNNNNNNNNNNNNNNNNNNNNNNNNNNNNNNNNNNNNNNNNNNNNNNNNNNNNNNNNNNNNNNNNNNNNNNNNNNNNNNNNNNNNNNNNNNNNNNNNNNNNNNNNNNNNNNNNNNNNNNNNNNNNNNNNNNNNNNNNNNNNNNNNNNNNNNNNNNNNNNNNNNNNNNNNNNNNNNNNNNNNNNNNNNNNNNNNNNNNNNNNNNNNNNNNNNNNNNNNNNNNNNNNNNNNNNNNNNNNNNNNNNNNNNNNNNNNNNNNNNNNNNNNNNNNNNNNNNNNNNNNNNNNNNNNNNNNNNNNNNNNNNNNNNNNNNNNNNNNNNNNNNNNNNNNNNNNNNNNNNNNNNNNNNNNNNNNNNNNNNNNNNNNNNNNNNNNNNNNNNNNNNNNNNNNNNNNNNNNNNNNNNNNNNNNNNNNNNNNNNNNNNNNNNNNNNNNNNNNNNNNNNNNNNNNNNNNNNNNNNNNNNNNNNNNNNNNNNNNNNNNNNNNNNNNNNNNNNNNNNNNNNNNNNNNNNNNNNNNNNNNNNNNNNNNNNNNNNNNNNNNNNNNNNNNNNNNNNNNNNNNNNNNNNNNNNNNNNNNNNNNNNNNNNNNNNNNNNNNNNNNNNNNNNNNNNNNNNNNNNNNNNNNNNNNNNNNNNNNNNNNNNNNNNNNNNNNNNNNNNNNNNNNNNNNNNNNNNNNNNNNNNNNNNNNNNNNNNNNNNNNNNNNNNNNNNNNNNNNNNNNNNNNNNNNNNNNNNNNNNNNNNNNNNNNNNNNNNNNNNNNNNNNNNNNNNNNNNNNNNNNNNNNNNNNNNNNNNNNNNNNNNNNNNNNNNNNNNNNNNNNNNNNNNNNNNNNNNNNNNNNNNNNNNNNNNNNNNNNNNNNNNNNNNNNNNNNNNNNNNNNNNNNNNNNNNNNNNNNNNNNNNNNNNNNNNNNNNNNNNNNNNNNNNNNNNNNNNNNNNNNNNNNNNNNNNNNNNNNNNNNNNNNNNNNNNNNNNNNNNNNNNNNNNNNNNNNNNNNNNNNNNNNNNNNNNNNNNNNNNNNNNNNNNNNNNNNNNNNNNNNNNNNNNNNNNNNNNNNNNNNNNNNNNNNNNNNNNNNNNNNNNNNNNNNNNNNNNNNNNNNNNNNNNNNNNNNNNNNNNNNNNNNNNNNNNNNNNNNNNNNNNNNNNNNNNNNNNNNNNNNNNNNNNNNNNNNNNNNNNNNNNNNNNNNNNNNNNNNNNNNNNNNNNNNNNNNNNNNNNNNNNNNNNNNNNNNNNNNNNNNNNNNNNNNNNNNNNNNNNNNNNNNNNNNNNNNNNNNNNNNNNNNNNNNNNNNNNNNNNNNNNNNNNNNNNNNNNNNNNNNNNNNNNNNNNNNNNNNNNNNNNNNNNNNNNNNNNNNNNNNNNNNNNNNNNNNNNNNNNNNNNNNNNNNNNNNNNNNNNNNNNNNNNNNNNNNNNNNNNNNNNNNNNNNNNNNNNNNNNNNNNNNNNNNNNNNNNNNNNNNNNNNNNNNNNNNNNNNNNNNNNNNNNNNNNNNNNNNNNNNNNNNNNNNNNNNNNNNNNNNNNNNNNNNNNNNNNNNNNNNNNNNNNNNNNNNNNNNNNNNNNNNNNNNNNNNNNNNNNNNNNNNNNNNNNNNNNNNNNNNNNNNNNNNNNNNNNNNNNNNNNNNNNNNNNNNNNNNNNNNNNNNNNNNNNNNNNNNNNNNNNNNNNNNNNNNNNNNNNNNNNNNNNNNNNNNNNNNNNNNNNNNNNNNNNNNNNNNNNNNNNNNNNNNNNNNNNNNNNNNNNNNNNNNNNNNNNNNNNNNNNNNNNNNNNNNNNNNNNNNNNNNNNNNNNNNNNNNNNNNNNNNNNNNNNNNNNNNNNNNNNNNNNNNNNNNNNNNNNNNNNNNNNNNNNNNNNNNNNNNNNNNNNNNNNNNNNNNNNNNNNNNNNNNNNNNNNNNNNNNNNNNNNNNNNNNNNNNNNNNNNNNNNNNNNNNNNNNNNNNNNNNNNNNNNNNNNNNNNNNNNNNNNNNNNNNNNNNNNNNNNNNNNNNNNNNNNNNNNNNNNNNNNNNNNNNNNNNNNNNNNNNNNNNNNNNNNNNNNNNNNNNNNNNNNNNNNNNNNNNNNNNNNNNNNNNNNNNNNNNNNNNNNNNNNNNNNNNNNNNNNNNNNNNNNNNNNNNNNNNNNNNNNNNNNNNNNNNNNNNNNNNNNNNNNNNNNNNNNNNNNNNNNNNNNNNNNNNNNNNNNNNNNNNNNNNNNNNNNNNNNNNNNNNNNNNNNNNNNNNNNNNNNNNNNNNNNNNNNNNNNNNNNNNNNNNNNNNNNNNNNNNNNNNNNNNNNNNNNNNNNNNNNNNNNNNNNNNNNNNNNNNNNNNNNNNNNNNNNNNNNNNNNNNNNNNNNNNNNNNNNNNNNNNNNNNNNNNNNNNNNNNNNNNNNNNNNNNNNNNNNNNNNNNNNNNNNNNNNNNNNNNNNNNNNNNNNNNNNNNNNNNNNNNNNNNNNNNNNNNNNNNNNNNNNNNNNNNNNNNNNNNNNNNNNNNNNNNNNNNNNNNNNNNNNNNNNNNNNNNNNNNNNNNNNNNNNNNNNNNNNNNNNNNNNNNNNNNNNNNNNNNNNNNNNNNNNNNNNNNNNNNNNNNNNNNNNNNNNNNNNNNNNNNNNNNNNNNNNNNNNNNNNNNNNNNNNNNNNNNNNNNNNNNNNNNNNNNNNNNNNNNNNNNNNNNNNNNNNNNNNNNNNNNNNNNNNNNNNNNNNNNNNNNNNNNNNNNNNNNNNNNNNNNNNNNNNNNNNNNNNNNNNNNNNNNNNNNNNNNNNNNNNNNNNNNNNNNNNNNNNNNNNNNNNNNNNNNNNNNNNNNNNNNNNNNNNNNNNNNNNNNNNNNNNNNNNNNNNNNNNNNNNNNNNNNNNNNNNNNNNNNNNNNNNNNNNNNNNNNNNNNNNNNNNNNNNNNNNNNNNNNNNNNNNNNNNNNNNNNNNNNNNNNNNNNNNNNNNNNNNNNNNNNNNNNNNNNNNNNNNNNNNNNNNNNNNNNNNNNNNNNNNNNNNNNNNNNNNNNNNNNNNNNNNNNNNNNNNNNNNNNNNNNNNNNNNNNNNNNNNNNNNNNNNNNNNNNNNNNNNNNNNNNNNNNNNNNNNNNNNNNNNNNNNNNNNNNNNNNNNNNNNNNNNNNNNNNNNNNNNNNNNNNNNNNNNNNNNNNNNNNNNNNNNNNNNNNNNNNNNNNNNNNNNNNNNNNNNNNNNNNNNNNNNNNNNNNNNNNNNNNNNNNNNNNNNNNNNNNNNNNNNNNNNNNNNNNNNNNNNNNNNNNNNNNNNNNNNNNNNNNNNNNNNNNNNNNNNNNNNNNNNNNNNNNNNNNNNNNNNNNNNNNNNNNNNNNNNNNNNNNNNNNNNNNNNNNNNNNNNNNNNNNNNNNNNNNNNNNNNNNNNNNNNNNNNNNNNNNNNNNNNNNNNNNNNNNNNNNNNNNNNNNNNNNNNNNNNNNNNNNNNNNNNNNNNNNNNNNNNNNNNNNNNNNNNNNNNNNNNNNNNNNNNNNNNNNNNNNNNNNNNNNNNNNNNNNNNNNNNNNNNNNNNNNNNNNNNNNNNNNNNNNNNNNNNNNNNNNNNNNNNNNNNNNNNNNNNNNNNNNNNNNNNNNNNNNNNNNNNNNNNNNNNNNNNNNNNNNNNNNNNNNNNNNNNNNNNNNNNNNNNNNNNNNNNNNNNNNNNNNNNNNNNNNNNNNNNNNNNNNNNNNNNNNNNNNNNGGCCCCAACCCUCCCCCAGCCUUGCCACGCCCCUCCCCCAGCCUAGAUACCCUUCCUUGCUUUCAACAUUCUACCUGGAGUGCUGCUCCUCUAGCUUUCCAGACUAGUAUAUGCUGAUCUUGGGCCACACUCAUGCAGACUUUAGCCACAUCAUGAUGGCAAUAAUUUCCUUCUUAUUCUGAUUCUUUUCACUUGGGUAUAUUCAUUUCAAAAGGAAACACUGGGUGCAAAGACAGUGCAGGAAUAAAUGCCAUGCACAGGAAGUGCAGGGCGGCUCUGAGUGAGCAGGAAGCUGGACCUGCGGAGGCGGUGGGAGGCCAGGCAGCCCUGGCUUUGGCUCAGUGUUGAUAGCAGGAAGGCACCAGGAGUGCCAUUGUCUCUGGGCUAGUCCGUGCAUCCAGAGGUCACCUGUGAGAAAUCUCAGGUGGGUAAAGAGGUGGGACCCAACCUCAGCCUUCAGUUAGGACAGUCCCUGGCUUUUGCAGCCCUGUUGACUUUAGUUUAUUGACAAAUGGAAAUCAGGGUACCGGCUUUGCCCAUCUCCCUGGGUUUCCUAAGAGACAUGUGAUACGGGCGUUUUAAAUGUUUGUUCUACAGAACUCUCAGGGGCUAAACUGGUCAUUUUGGAAAGAAAAGUCCUGGGUCAACAGUCAUAAUGUUUGAAGGCAAGGGACACAUGCUUCUGGCAGUGAGCACAUGGGUGAUGGAGAGGUCAGGCUACCUGCCAGUGAGUUAUGGUACUGACCAGCAAACACACAUCCUCCUGCCAUCAGGACUCUAGUGUCCCCAGAGCUGUGUCCAGGUCAGUACCCAGAACUGAGCUCCAUUUUAAGUAUCAAAGUCCCCCUUCCUCCAUUCAGUCUCUCUCCUCCUCCCUCCCUCCCUCCCUGUCUCUUCUCUCCAUAUUUCACUAAUGUUUUAUUUUAAGUAAUUUUAGACUCACAUAGAAGUUGCAAAACAUGGUAGAGUUUGUGGAAACCUUUUCUCUGGCUGCCCUUAGUGACGAUAUUGUAAAGGACCAAUGUCCCGUGACCUGAGCUAGGACAUUGACACAAGUAACUAAACAACAGAGCUCUUUCAUAUUGUGCGAGUCUUCACAUGCCCUUAUUUAUUGAUUAUUUCUUUUGAUUUUAGUUCCAUGAGAUUCAAUUCCAUCUAUAGAUUGUGUAUCUCCCAUCACAAUCAGCCUGAGGACUGAAAAGGGGACUCUUCUGUUAUUCAUAUAUAUUUUUUAAAACAUUCUUUUAGCUCAAUUAACAUUUGUUGAAUGAAUAAUGACGGAUCGGUAUGUAGACGAGUGCUCAUUUCUUGUACUGUUGAAAGAGAUGGCUCAGGGAUGCGGCUGCUCAAGCCCUGGUGCCUGUGGAUGGCAUACAACUCUGAGGAUGAGCUUAACCCUGCAAUGAAAGUCGGCAGCUGAGUCAGGACAAAUUCUCCUUCAUACAACAUGUAUUGUUCCAGAUGAUAAGUUGGGGCCAAAUCAAUUUAAUUAACUAACAAUGGUAGUUGUUAUGGCAACAAUUCUACUAAACUAUUUCAGCAAACACUCAGUAUGAUUGACCUGUUGCUAAGCAACAGCCAAUAGAUUGGACAGAAGAGAAAAACAAAUUUCAUCUGAUGCAGAAGUUGUGAUCCGGUCAUAAAUUCCAUCUAUGGCCAUGGAGAAGCUUCAUUAAGAACAUUAUCAGGGAGGUAUCGAAAUGAUGCUCCUCAGCCCUGUGCUGUAUUGCUAUCCAGAAACAAGCAAAGUCUAAGCCCAUGUUGCUUUAUAGGCUUUAUAGGCUGAAAGUCUAGGAAGAAAAUGUAUGAGAAAGAUUAGGAAAAAUGUGCAUAUCUAAUAUGUCCUACUUAAAAUGAUUUAUAUCAUUUUAUAGGUCUUUUCUAUAACUGUGAAAAAACCCUUUAUCUUACUUUAUAAAAAUAAAACAUAUUUAUAAAUGUACACCUCUUGUGUGGAAAGUAAGUAAUUUAGGCAGAAUUGUUGAGAUUGAGCAGAUAGACCUACUUCACUGGAAAACUCAGCCUCUGGGAGAGCUCCUCCAACCCCAGGCCCUUUGGGAGUCUCUCAUUCAAGAUGGCCCAGGCUUCACAACUGAAACCUUCCUUUGACUUGGGGUAACCAGGGAAUCAUUUCCCAGGUCUUUCCUUUAAGCAUGCAUCUGAACUGUUGUAUUCAAGGGAGCUUGGAAGGAAAUACAGGUUGCUGUGCCCCGGGUGGGCUCAGUGUGAACAACACUGUCAGGCUCCUCAGAGGAGGGGCCUGGAUCUCCCUGGGAGUUUUUAAUAACUCUGGUGGCUCUAGUGGUCUCACUCUAGACCGUGUUUGCAAACUCAAAAGUGUUCAGGGCCCAGGCAAAUAAAGUACUGGAGUGACAUAUCCUUAGGCAGGGCCGUGGGAAUCAGGCGUGCUUAUGGGACCAGAGAGCAUUUUCCCAAAAGACAUUGAAGAAGGAUUGGUUUUGAAGGGUACCAUGAAUCAUGACUGUAAUCUCAGUGACUCAGGAGGCAAAGGCAGGAGGAUCACAAGUUCAAGGACAGCCUCAGCAACUUAUCAAAAUUAAAAAAAAAAUAAAAAUAAAAAGGACUGGGUAUGUAGCUCAGUGGUAAAGUACCCCUGGGUUCAAUCCCCAGUACACCUUCAUGAAAAAUGUUAGUUUUGACAAUGUUGUAUUCCUUUACUUAUUCACAUGUCACAAAAUGGCUGAGCUGUGCCCAUUCCCUGCCUGCAUCUGGAGACACUGAGAAUGUGACUAUAAGGUGAAAGUUGUCAUGGGUAGCAGGAAGUCACCGGGCAUGAUGGAUAUACAGGGCUUUGAGCUCGCUUCCAGUGCUCUCAGAUGCACCACCGCAGCCAAGUCACUGCUCUCCCUGGGUUUGUUCUGCAUCUGCUACAGAAGGUGGAUCCAGGAAGGUCUUCCCAAUCCAUGGGACUAACUGUGUGGUCCCAACCAAACACCUUGGGAGCUGGGCACAGGGCUUUUGUGAAAUGGUACAAAGCGUUGCACCCAGCCAGUUCCUUCCCGUUCCCAGCUCUGGCACGGGAGAGGACCAGGGAGGCGGCUUUGUUAGCGGUGAGCACUGGCUGCGUGCGCUGUCCGCGACAGGGCAAAGCCAUCAUCAUGGCACCAGUGGUGCUCGAGGCUUAGUCACAUGCAGAGGCUUCAGGAGAGCCAUCCUCCGCAGAGCUCUUCCAGGAGGAAAUCUGCCGAUCUGAUUCAGAAAACGAGAAGACCAGGCAACCAUUGUAAUUAAGUAAAAGCAAAAGGAGGAGGAGAAAGUGGAGAAGAAGAAGGGGAAAAAAGAAAGGAAGUGAGGGAGAAGAGAAGAAAGGAAGGAAGAGAAGGAGGGAAAGAGGGAGGGGUAGAGAAAGGGAGGGAGAAAAGUGGGGAGAGAGAAGAACAGGAACAGUUGUUGGUUGAGAAUAAUCCAGACACAUUUGAAGUGUACAUCAAAGUGCCCUUUCCUGUUAAUAUAGCCUGAGGCUGUUUGACCACUAUUUGGUCGUGUGUGUGUGUGUGUAUGAUUAUAUGCAUAUAUAUGUAAUCAUAUAUGCAUGCAUACAUACGUAUAUAUGAUCAUAUGUGCAUGCAUGUAUAUGUGUAUGUAAUCAUAUAUGCAUGAAUGUAUAUAUAUACAUAUGAUCAUACACACACGCUUUUUUGUAGCAAUUCAAUGCCAUCAACUAAGAAUUAUUGCUUAAGGGAAAGCUAAUUUGGGAGGAGCAAUUUUCUCAGAACUGAUUGCAGGAACAGCCAUACAAUUAUCUCAACGGAGCAGGAUGCACGGAGCUGGGAGGGCUGUGCUUGGAGACUUAGCCCACAUCCUGCCCCACGGCUUCAUCUCCCAUGUCCCACCACCAUGAAUGAGGUGGACCGGAAGAUCACCUCCUGAAUGUGACCAUGGACCCAGGAUGCCCCAGGGGGGCUGUAACACCCUCUCCAUGUCCCUCUUACCCUCUCCUCUAUUGCCCACCACUCUCUGAAGCAGGCUCCUGUACUGUGGAAACCUGACAUCUCACAGCCUUGGCCACGCUGUAGAACUUUCCUGAGCUCCAGUUAUUCAGGGAUUCUGAUGGAAAAUAUUUGCCAGCAUGUCUUGCAAAAUGCUAUACAAAUAUGAGAGGGUGGUGGAAGUCAUAGUAGACACCGCCAGGAUGAUAUUUGGACACGCUCUUCCUUGGCUUGAACUUUACAAAUGAGGAGAGUUUGCACAUUCAUGUUCUAGGCACUAGAGUUUAGCGAGAUCAAAUAACAGCUAAUCAUGUGUGUGCUGGCCUGCAAAUGCCAGGGUUUGAAGGCCAGCCUGGCCAGUUACUAGCUUCGAGGCCUUGGGCAAGUACUUAAUUUCCCUAAAUUUCAGCUUGUUAUUACAUAUACUGAGGAAUAAGCAGUGCUUUCCUUCAAGGGUCAAGUCAAGGAUAUUCUAGACGGCAGUCUGGGUAAAGGGCCCGGCCAUGGUCUCCUUUCGGGAAGUGUUGGCCAUUGUUAUUGCUAACAUCAUUAGGCUCUUCUGGCAGUAAUCCCACGAGGUUGGCAUCCUCCCCAUUUUCCCAGAUGAGGAAAAUGAGGCUCAAAGAGUUGAAAUGGCUGGCCUGGUGUCACUCCUCUGAUAAGGGACGGUGGGGGCUCACGCCAGGCUGCUUCCAAGCCCACCCUCCAUCCAUGCAGUUUAAUGAGGGAUUCAGCUUCACGCUUCUCUCCCCUUGAUUAGGUGUUAAAUAUUUACCAUCUUGCCUUUCUUCCUCUCUACCCUCCUUAAAAACGGUUUAAUUAAAAUCGUUCGUUGAGCUCAUGAUAAAAAUAUGUAAAUGUGAUGAUUUUUGUGAAAUGAAUCUAUUGUUUCCCUUUCAUUCCCAAAGGACUGUGGAUAAGAAGGGAUAGAUAGCUGGGUCUCCCCAUGAAUUUGAACAAGCAUUUGAUAAUACGUUGUGUAACCGAUUUCAAGGUCUGGUGGCCACAGGAUCCAGCCAUUUACGUAUGUGAGGCACAGCUGGAUUCCUAGGUGUGAGUGGGGUGUAGGGGACGGCUUCCCCAGUAUUUCUGGAAGGAACGACUGUGAGGGGCUUGAAGAGGCCGAGCUUCAAGGGAGCUCACUUUCUCGUCCCCACAUCUGCAUCUGUCCUAACUGUUCCUCUUGUCCCUGACUCACUGCCUGAGCAGCCUGGCCUCUUGCCUUCUUUCUUUCUGAGGCCACAACCCAGAUGUCCUGCUCAGCAUGGUCCUGACUGACAGGUGUCCUCAGUGUACCUCAGAGUGCCCCUUUGUUCAUUGAGUGCUGCUCAGCCCUGUUCUGGGGGUCGUGGUCCUUGGAUGUAGCACACUCAAGUGCAGGGCCAGGCCCUGGGACAAGUGAAUGGCCCCUAAGGUGUCAAGAAGUUCACAAAUGGUCAUGUCAAUCUAAGAAUUUCUGUCCUAGAAGGUCAGGGCAAAGACAGCCUCCUAACAUCUUUGACCUUGGUUGGCCCCCUGCCAACUAUAGUAAAACACCCCAGAGUUGACUCCCUGGUUUGUUCUGGCUGGAUUUGGAGGCUGUUUUACUGGUCCUCUGUACCUGUGUAUUAUGAGUAAGUGAUCAUAAUAGUCAACAUCCACAGUCAAUGAUCCAGCUCAAUGGAUUUUGAUGUUUACUUCAUAGGUGAAGAGUGGUUGUUGGUUAACAAUGGUCAACAACAGGACUCUGGUGCAGUUAUUCAGGGACCAAGACCUCCCCCACAUUGUGGCGCUAGUUCUCUCUAGUGCCCCAGUGAACAAGAAUCCUGGGGGGAGCUUUCAUGGACCAGGAGUGGAUUCCACAUCUCAGGCACAUGGCUGGGUGGGAAGGGUGGCUGGGAAAUGGAGUGUAGCUCUGUGCCCAGGAGGAGUAUGUGGGACAUUAGUGAAUGCCACUUUUUAUUUAAUCAUUUUUUUUUAUUUUUUAAUUUCUUACAUUGUAAGGUCUUUGGGGACAGAGACUAUGUUACCUGACCACACACAUGGUGCACUUUGCUCAGGGUUUGGUUUGGGUGAACGGUUGGUGAGUGAGUGAACCAUCCAUAGCCAUGACGUAAGGCUGGGAGUGUCAACAUGGACCAACGGAGCCUCUCUUCCAGAGCUGGUUCCUAUACAUGCUGACUCUGCCUUGCAGUGUUGGACAAGGCAGGAGGGGGAGUGGAAAACAGCCGAGGUGUGUUUAUACUUCCUGAUGUUAGUACUGGGAUUUCUGAAUUUCACAGCCCCCUUCUGGCUCUUUCAGGAAACAUUCUCACCAGGCCUCGUCUCUCCAGCUCUCCUCCACCGGGUCAGGGUUUUAUUUUCUUCUUUGCCCGUGUCCCGGCCCAUUUCUGCUGUUACAACAGAAUACCUUGGACUUGUGCAACUUAUAAGCAGAAACGUUGCUCCCUGUUCUGGAGGUUGGGAAAUCCCAGGGUUGAGGCAUUACAGGGUUGGUGUCUGGUGAAGGCUGCUCUCUGCUCCAAGUAUGGCGCCUUCCAGCUGUGUCCAACCAUGGUAGAAGGGCCAACAGCUCCCUUCGACCUCUUUCUCCAGGGCACUAAUCCCAUUGAUGAGCACUCCAUCCUCCUGACCUAAUCACCUCUCAAAGACUCUGCUUCUUAAUACCAUUGUUUUUGGAUUAGGCUUUAACAUAUGAAUUCUGGGGAGAGGGGACACAACCAUUCACACUGUAGAGCCCAGUCCCUUGGAAGAUGGUCUAAAGUCACAUCUGCUCUACUUUUGUACCAAACAGCACUUAGUAAAUCCCUCAUCUUAAGCCUCUGAAUAUUAUUCUUGAUACAGGACAGAUUUUACUUUUAAAAGCUUAACAAAUCCUUUUCUAUCUCAAAAAUAUUUUUUUUCCAAGACCAUUGUUUUUCUUUAAAUGAAAAAAAAAGUGUGAGUGGGACACUCAAGAUCGAGUCCCUCACUAGUGGCCUCAGCUCUCUCUGAGAAUGUGUCAGGGUCAGUUGGUGACCACAGGGCAAUGGGGUUUACAAGGAAUGAAAAGCAUAGAUUUUAUAACGCAAAAUAUUAUUGCUGUUGUCAUCGUUUUAUUAAAACAAAGUGUAGAGGAGUAGCUUUAUAUUUCUCUGUCCUACUGUUCUGCAGACUUCACAAUCCAGGGCCUAAAGGAAUCCCAAAGGAACCCUGAAUUUUGUAUAUCAACAUGGUUGGAUCAUGGUUCUCUGAUGUUUGGUCUAACACUAUUCUGGAUGUUUCCAUGAGGGUAUUUUAGAUGAGAUUAACAUUGAAAUAAGUGAGCUUUUGUGAAAGCAGAUUGCCCUUAGGGUUUUGGUCAGUCUGUGUCCAGUGGGCUGAAGGCCUGAGUGGAACAUGAUGAACCAUCUCUAAGCAGGAGCAGAUUCUACCCACGGAUACCUUCAGGCUUCUUCCACACCGUCAACCAUCCUGAGCCCACCCUGCAGAUUUUGUCUGCAUAUGUCUCCAUAAUGACAUGAGCCAAUUCCUUAAAAUAAAUAUCUCUUUAUCUGUCUGUCUUUCUCAUAGACAGAUAGAUCAAUUGAUGCAUUGAUUGACAGAUCAAUAGAGAGACAUCUCUCUCUACUUUUCUCUGUGUAUCUAUACACUUCCUAUCUGUUCUCUUUCUUUGGACAACCCUAAUAGAGACACUGACAGAAAGAGAAUGUACCUGGAAUUCCCCUUAGAAUUGUCCAUCUUCCUCUUCUUUCUGUGGUCAACCAAGCAUGAGAUUUUAUCCCAUGGGGCUUGAGGUCACAGGGCCUAGUAGGACUCUAUCAACACACAUGCAGUUUCCAUGAGCAUUCUUCAAAACCGUUCACCUCCUAUGACUGGCCUCCUAUGAUGGUUAAUUUCAAACACCAGUUAGGCUCAAAUGAAUUUGCAUGAUGCUGUGAAGGUAUUUUAAGAUGGGAUUGACCUGUAAGUCAGUAGACGUUGAGUAAAACAGAGAACUUUCUAGAAAGUGGAUGGGCUAUGUCCAAUCAGUUGAAGGACUUCAGAAAUAACAGACAGGUUCACUGGAAAAAGAGGGAAUUGUAUCUCUAGAGUGCCUUUGCUUUUGAAUCAAUGACAGGAACCCUUCCCUGGCUCUGCAGCCUGCCUGCAAGACCACCUGCAGAAUUUGAACUUGCCACCCCUCAUUGUUAGGGAGUCAGUCCCUUAAAAUUGAUCCCCUGUUUGCCUCCUACUUCUAUGCACACCUUACAAAACAGUGACUCCAAAACCCCCAUUGUCUCAAGUGAGUUGGUCCUGAUGAAAGGUUUCAGUCGACUUGAAAAUAUAAACUUUAGGAAGGAAGAGGAAAUAAUUAAAUGUGUCUAUUUCAUUAAUGUAUUUACACAUAUGUACUUAAAAUAGCUGAUAAAUAUAGUGCUUACUUUAAUACCAUGAAUAAAAUAAAUCUUUAAAUAAAUACAGACUACCUAAAAUUUACCAAUUACUUUAUCAAUUUGCAUGGUGUUUAUUUAUUUAUUUAUUUAUCGCAGUUUUGAUUUGUUUUGAAUUUUCUGAAAUCAGGAAUUUUUAAAAGCUAUCACAUCAAUAGUACUUAUUUUAGCAAUUUGGCUCCGAAAUUAUCCCCUUGAGAAUUCUUAAGGAAAGUGAAUGUUUUCAGAAUCUUGUUUCUUGAGAAUUCUUCUCUAUUCCCCUUAAUUUUGAGAGACAUAACCUUUUGGAUAAUGAAAGCAAUCAUUUAAAAAAAUGAGAAUUCCUGAUUUCUACUUACACCCUCAACAUGAUUUUCAGAAAGAAAGUUCCAGAUGUACAGAUUGUGGUUAAAAUGCUCCGUCAGGUCUAGGAGAUUCGUCAUUACUUUCAGAGUUCAUCGUCCACGUUUUCUACCCUGUGCAAAAAAAAAAAAAAGUAAAGGAACCCCUUUGGGACAAUCAAACAAAAUAUCUAAAAAUGUGCUUAAACUAAUUUUUUCUUUCCGUGUUUCCUCCCACUAAAGUUCCCAAGCUACUAACCCUAAUGGGGCGGGAGCAAGGUGGUUGGGAUCCUGUAGACACCACUUGCCCUGCGCUCAGCAGUGCCUGGAGGGAUGCAAUGAGCAACUCCUGCAGUUUCCAGUUGUCCAGGAGCACUUUCCAAAGGUAAAAAGGAAUAGCUGAACGCAAUUUUAAUAAUGCACUGACUCAACACAAUGGAUCGUCAUUAUAAGAGGCAGUCAGUAGGAAAAGCAUGCAGGAAACAGGUCCUAGUUAUCUUUUUUUCCCAGUAACUCUUUAAAAAUCAGGUGUGACUUUAAGCUGAAUACACUUCUCAUUUUGGAUCUGCUGCCUUUCAAAGCUCAGCAGGUGUCUGCGAUGAAGGCGGACCCGCUGGACAGUGUGGCUCUGGAUGUAAGAUCCAGAGAGGAACAUUUUUUUUUUCCUGUUGGGAGGAACAGAGGUGCUAAAUUUGCAGAGUGACUGAGGUGAUAUUUUGAUGGGGCGAGCAGGGGAAGGGGACAUUUACUUUGAGGCAGUUCUGUCCCACAGGCUGUGCUAUGACUUGAAUAGUGAACCUCUAUAGGUUCAGCCUGCACCCUUGACAUCUUGUGGCUAGAGCGACGGGUCUCCAGGGCUCCGUUUCCACAACUCAGUUUGUUCUUUUCCUCCUGCCACCCUGAGGUCAAGGUCCAAGGGGUUAUGGAGAGCUCGUUGGGGUGGAGUCUAUUAUGCCACCAUCCCCCAAAGGCUACAAGUUUUCAGUUUAAAAAUAUGAUAGAAUUUAAAUUUUCACGUCUUAGACAUUCACGAGGAGACACUCUGCGCUUGCCAUUACUUUCUUAAACAGCCAUCAAGAAUGAGGUUCCAAGGUGCCCUUUAUUGGACGCCUGCUCCACACUUGGUGUUUUCAAGGUACUUUAAAAUUGGCCUCGCUUUAUUCAAUCCUCACAACACCACCAACUGGGUAAAUAUCCCUGUUUUAUUGAUGGUGGAUAGAGUCCAAAAUGAAGUCCUGUGUUCAAGAGCCCAGAACUGGUAAGUGAGAAGGAUUUAGGCACAAGCUUUUCUCCUAGUUCAGAUUCCAACGUCUGAUUCCAAAGUUCAUGGUUUUGCAGGGUUCCUAGAAUUCUCUCCAAUAGCAUUACUGACUUUUCAUCUGUCAUGAACAACUAGCUUGAAGUGAAAGCAGUCAUAUUUCAAUCCAGACUCUCUCACGGCUUCAUACUGCAUGGCUUUGGGAGAGCCGGUAUUUGACUUGUAUUUCUUCUGCUACAACCUGGAAUGAGAAAGUCUCCUCACAUGGGAACCCGUGCGGCUUGGGAUCCAGGUAUGCUCCAGCACUGAUGAAAACCAGGAACAGUAAACCUUACUUAACUGCUUAUUAAUAGUGGGGUAACUGUCAUAUGUGCAUGAAUGAUUAGAUAUUCCUUAGCCAUUGAAAGUCAAGUUUUCAACGUCUAGACACUGAAAGUAAUGUUAAGUAAAUUUAAAAAGCACAGUCUAAGAACAAUAUAUAUCCAAUGAUCCUAAUUUGGUAAUUCACAGAUGCACACAUAAACACACAGGGAAAAACAGUCCGGCCGGGAAGCAGCCAUUGUGGUUAUUUCAGGGCCAUAAGUUACAAGUGAUUUUUUUUUAAUGGAAUACAUUUCUUUAGGUUCCAGAAAUCCUAUAAUGAUCACAUGUUAGUUUCGCUCCCUUAAUAAGAAAAAAAAAAAGUACUUUUAAGUGGUACUCUGGUUCCCAGGAAAAGUUUAGUUUUAAUGAAGACCAUUUGAUUCAUCAAAUAAAGUUUUCUGCCUCCUCCACUUAAUGAACUAUUUUAAGUCUCCUCUCUCCUGAGACACCCACUGUUCCUAUUAAUUCUGAUACGCUAUCAGCUGUCAUUAGAACACCCCUGAGGGACUGUGCUUCUCCAACAGGCAUAAAGUGAGGUCAUGGGGGACGUAAAGGGAACCAGUGACUUUCCAGUUCCUCUGCCACCAGAGUGGUCUUCCAGAGAGUAACUCUCCUGGGGAACCACGGGUGUAUCCUGCUCUCCUCUGUGAAGCUGGUCAUGCGUAUCACAAUGAUUUCUGGCUUUGGGUAAAAGUACUAGUGGAUUCUGUCUCCUAAAAUUCUCCCCAAAAGAGAAUGAUCCCCAAGGGUGUUCCUCCGGUGCUCAGAACUGGGACAAGAAUCUUGAAACGUGGGUUUGAUUUCCUUCACUGAUGAAUUCCGAGCUCGUUGCUGAACAUCCUAGAAACAGAGCAGCCUUGUCUGUAGAAGGGAUCUGGCACGUCUCAAGCUCUGAGGGUCCUGUGGGGCAACCGCCCACUCUGUGUUCGUGAGGGUCAGUGACAACCUUUGUCCAUCUGAACCUGCCCCUCAUGUCAACGUGGCUCCUGAGUUCUCCAAGACGUUUAGGGAGCUCUUCCCGAAUUCUCCAAUCAACACCAAUCUGACUUUGCUUAAGUUUGAGCUAGGUAUAAAGGGUCCCCCCUGCCUGCGAGAAGAGUGGAGUGGGGUGCCAGGAAGCCUCCAAGUCAAGAGCAAGGACAGGAAGGGGCGAUCGCCAGGGGAGCUGAGGUUCUUGGUGGUUUCAUAGCCCUUUCUGUGGGUGACGUGUGUGACGUGUGUGUGUGCGUGUGUGUGUCUUUUUGAUGAAACAACAUAGUUAUAAGAGAUAUUCCUGAAGAUGGUUCUUUAUUGUUCCUGCAGGACCGGCCUGCUGAGGAGGGGACUGAGCAUCCUCCGCUCCGUUUCAAGGUAGAGUGAUGUGGUUCAAAGUCUGACACCCACACAGGCUGGGGACACACGUCAAGUCCCCCAGCUCUUCUCCUUUGGAGAGAAGGGAGAAUGUCACCUGUCCCACAGCCUUGUGAUGAUGACAGACGGAGGGUGGACCUGCCGCACGGGAGCUGUGGGUGGUGACUGCACACUCUGGUGAUGAGAUACAUGCCCUGACAGACCCGGGGAAGAGGACACGUUACCCCAGCCUUCUGUGAACACAGAGUUAAAAAAAAAGUGCUCUUAUGUGGUUUCUCAUUUAUGGUCAUAACUAUAAAAUAUGAAAUUGUGGAAGAGAUCAAGCUCAAAAUCACUGGAGAGUCCCAGGGGCCUGUCACGACACUGCACCUCUCCUCCCUUGGCAGGUGCGGGGGAAAAAGAAACAGCCAGUUCAGACCUGCACAUUCCCUUCAACUUUUUUUUCUGAGGCAUUGGGUCCUCUCUCACAGACGCCUAGAGGAAGAUUUACAAAAGAACUGAGAAAUUCUUUUUGUAUCUUGGGAAAGUUAUUUUUUUUUUGGGGGGGGGGAUCUUUAUAGGCCAACAUGAAAUCCAAAAAAAAAAAAAAAAGAAAAGAAACUUUUAUGAAAGCUAUCCAUCAAAUGUCAGGGAUAAUAAUCAAUUUUCUGUCACAAUGAACUGAUAAAAGCUUUCAGUAAUAAUGUCACGGGGGGAAAAAUUUGUGUUGGAACUCGAAACGCGGAGCCCUGAUAUCAAACGAAUUCAUAAAAGCUCUAUGCCUCUGUAGCCCUUGGAGGCAUGACAAAAUACAAUUUCUCAUCCACAGGAUAUGGAAUAAUUCCCCUUUUUUAUUUUUACACUGAGAAAACCAAAAGGAAAUCUGAAUUUCAAAAAAAAAAAUAUUACACAAUCCCACUUUGGCAGGUGAACAUUAGCGAUCGUUUUGGCCGCUGAUAUCAGAAGCCGUUCUGGUGAUUUCUCUCCCAUCAUGCAAAUGAGUGCAUAAUGCCUGCUCUUCUUGGAAUGUACAAUCAAAUCAGCAUUCUAAUGCUACAAGCCGGUGAUGAGCUUGGGAAUAAAUAUGCAGGAGCGAAUAAAAAAAAUCAAGGCAAUCAAGAGGAGCCAGCGUCCUCGCUCGGACUAUAAAUCUUUGUCUAUUUCAAUCGUGGGGCUGGCCGAAUCAGUGUAAAAUUCCAGCGGGGAUGUCAUCAAUUUCUGUUAACCUCUCUAUUCCUCCCUGUGUUGCCUCUGGGGUGAUGGAUUGGUUUUGUCACUCCGGCUCCGUUCACAGUGUGUUAACAUGGGAGGGUGCAGGCAGGUUACGAGGAAAGGUGACUGCUGUCCUAGCCUUGACCCUCUCUCGCGCUCCUCUGUGGGUCACGGGUACCUUUCUGUCCAGGGAGCAUGGGGUCUCCUUCUGGUUCCAGGAUGCUCUGCUCUGGGACCACAGGUUGGCCGGUCCAGUGUUAAGUCACAGUUCACUCUUUUGAAAUAAAAAUGGGUCUGUGGCUCAGCUUGCUGGGGAACAGCUGACCAUGGAUCAAGAAACCAGAAGAAAAUACUUAGCAACCUGGUGUCUAAAAGGCUCAGAAUCUCAGUCACCGACUGGCCCAGCACACAGGUUACUUUGUGCUUCACUUUCCAAACCGUGACUGGCCUUUCCAGCUGCAAUGCUAGAAUUCUCUCCAACAAUUCUAACGGAGUAUUGGACAUCCCCACUUCCCCAUAACUGCACCCUACAAGACUUACCUGCACAACAUGAAUGAAUCUGGGCAAUGAGAAUUAGAUGGUAAGCAGAAUAAGUUAUCCUCCAUGUACGUAUAACAUGUCAAAAUACACUCCACUGGCGUGUGUAUCUAAAAAGAGCAAAUAAAAAAAAAAUAGGGACAAUGAGCCCAGCAGCAAACUCUAUAUUCUCCUGGGACAUACAGGUACUUCUGGAUAUCUAUCCUAAAAAAUUAGAUCAGGACCCUGAAGCAAUCUCAGCACGCCCAUGUUUAAUGCAGCACUGUUUGCAAGGAUCAAGGCAUAGAAACAACCCAAACGUCCAUCGUCGGAUGCAUGGUAAUAAGCAUGGGGCACAUACGCACAGUGGAAUGUCAUUCAACCUCAAAAGAAGAAGGAAACUCUGCCAUACGAGAUAAAAUGAAUGCGACUGAAGGAUAUUAGGCUACGCAAAAGAAAUGGUCUCAGAAAAAAAAAAUCACCUGUUUCCAUUUAAAUGAAGCAUCUGGAAACAGCCAUGUUAGCGGCCAGAAGGUACAUGGUGGGGUGCCAUGGGCUAGAGAAGGGAGAUGGGGCGUGGCUAAUCAACAGGCGAAAGUUUCAGUUAAGCAAGUUGAAGAAAUUCUACAGCCCUGUGGUAUAGUAUUGUGCUCAGAGUUACUAAUACUCUAUCUCACCCUCAAAUCUUUGCAAGAGGGUAGAUCUCAGGUUAAGGGUUCUUACCACUAAGAAAUAAAAUUUUUAAAAUAAAAAAAUUAGUAAAAACAAAAUGAAACAAAAACAAAACAGAUGGUAUGAUGCAGUUAUUUUUGUGGUUGCUGCUAUUGGUGACAUAUCAUUUAGCAAAGUAGCAACUAGCCAACAUGAAUACAAAUAAUUAAAUAAAAAUUUAAAAUUUGGCUCUUCAGUGUCAGUAGCCUUGGCUCAAGGCUAUUACAUUGGACAGCACAGACACUGAACAUUUCCAUCAUUGUCAAACACUGCAUGGAUGGAGCUAGUUCAGGUUGCAUUUAUCCAAAGUGUUUCAACGUAGUUACCAAGGGAAGCCAUGGACCUAGGCCAACAAGGUUGCCAUUGUUGAAACAUGGAGACAGCUACAUAGCUGUUAACCAGAGAUGGGGCAUGCUCAUAAGGUGAAGGUUGGCUUGGAGAUUGACUCUAAAGGAAUUUCGAGAAGUUUCCAACUUGUUUUGAGAGAUGGCAAAGUUAUUGAAAUAAGUUUGAUAGAAAGAGCCUGUGGGCAUUUGCUUCCGACUGACCUAGAUUCCAGAUAACAAAUCUGAUACUUCCUUGCACCAAGACCUUGGAAACUUCCUUUAAAGACCCUGAGCCUCAGUUUUCUCAGGCACAACAUUAUCAUUAUCACAACACAAUCAUAACAUAAUUUUUUUUCCUGAGGUUUAAAUGAAAUGACGUUGUAGAGAAGUCUAGAUGGUGCACUGAGCAGAACAGGAGCCUAAAACGCAUUUGUUCACAGGAAGUUCCACAGACAUAACAGGACCCUCAGGAAGGACACAGGAUGUAGUAUAUAUACAAAGUAGAAGUGGGGUGUUUUAAAUCACUGGAACCCCAAGUCAGCACAUACUACUCACCCCUAGGUGGAGAGGUGAUUUUCUUCUUUUGGGGGGAGCUAAGGCAGGGGCCCCACCUCUAGGCAGCCCAAGCCUUUCUGGACUUCCAGUCCUCUAGUAGCUUGAGUGGCUCCCCCUGUGGUGGCCACAGUCAGCAGGGCAUGGCUGGCAGUCUCCACCUUCAGCGUCAGGAAGCCAUGGUGCUGUCCUCAGAGGGUCCUUCUCCCAGCCUGGAAUCCCCUACAGGCACACUGACUGGGUGUCAAUAGCUCCCUCCCCUGGGGGGUUUGCUGCCAAUUAGAACUGGGAUUCUGAACGCAAAGGGCGUGAUUUCAAGCAGCACCUCCUCCUUUAUGAGGAUCUUGAUUCUACUCUCCCAUCUCUGAACUCCGAGCCCCUGCAGCAGCUCUGUGGUCACUCCUCACUCCCCACCCCAAAGAAUCAGGGUAUUUCCCUGCUCCCUAAGCUAUGGCUGAAGUGAGCCGUGAAGCCCAGCCACGGGCAAUGCUUCACACCAGCAGAACAUGUGACCCUCUGGACAGUCUGGUCAGGUGGUGUGUGUCUCCGUGCACAGGGCUUUGUGUGGUCACCUGGUAGGUCACAGCAUCUCUGCAAGAUGCAAUUUUCUUAAAGAAAAAUGGGUAUUUUAACCUCAAUGCCACAUCCGAUCCAAAUGGGCCAGGACCAGGCCAAUACCAGUCAUUAUGAAAAAGUUAAUAGGUGGCCUUGACUGAGACCCCAGAAGCACUGUGUUGAACCAAGUUAACAACAACAACAAAAUUGUCUGGUCAAAUCUGCACUUUUACAUGUAUUCUCUCUCUCUCUCUCUCACACACACACACACACACACACACACACACACCCACACACAUGCACACACAGAGAUGCAGUUGAAUGACUGUGGUUUAGAAUAAGUUGACCCCCCUGUGGUGGUGAUGGGAAGGUAUGAAGGUUUGGGAAAGACCAGGUAAUGGGAUGAAGGCAAGCGAGAGCCAUCCAACUGGGUGUCCACUAAAUCCCAAUUGUCAGGAGAACAGGGACCCAACUGCUGCAUUGGCUACCUCAAAACAAACAAAAACAAAAUAAACAAACAAACAAAAACUCCUGAUAAAAUACCUGUUGCGAUCUAAGCUUUUAUGACUAAUGAAUAGAAGAAUAAAAGAAAGACAGAUGAAGAAAUGCACAGAACCAGGAAACCACCUCAGCUGGUCCAGCGGUUCUCAACAGAACUGUGAUAGAACCUCUCAGGGGGAUCCUGACCAGCUGCCGCGCCUGAGCCCAUCACAGGCCAGUAGAAUCAGAGUCUCUAGGGUGGGGCUGCAGCAGGACCCUCUGUGAGAGUUGCUGUGUGAGUCUAACAUUUAGCCUGGACUGAGGACCACGGGGCUGGUAUCACCCUUAAAUAUAGCAUUUGGGAGGCAGGCAAAUGAACUAUACCCUCCGCCCCAAAUAUAGCAUUUGGAAAAUCUGCUGCCCCAAGAGCAGAAAGAACUUGCAUAGGGAUCCUGAGCAAAUUGCUGGUGCUUCUGAAGAAGGGCUUUUGGUUUGAGCCUCUGUGUGUGUGUGUAUGAGAGACAGAGAGAGAGAGAGAGAGAGAGAGAGAGAGAGAGAGAGAAAUGUGUACCAUGAUUUCUUGUGCUAUUGUGUGUUUACACAUGCACAUGAAUCUUCUGUUCCCAGGAGCCUUUAUUCUAUUCUUCUUCUUCCUCUAUUCCUCUUCUCCUAUCAACUUCUCUUACAGGGUUUUUAGAAGCCCCCAGUGGCCUCUUGCAUCCACAGGCUGAGGAACAUCUCUCUACUGUGAGCUCCCACGGUCAUCUGGGUUUCCCAAAGUGUGUGGUUGCACCCCGUUGUGCUCAUGGAGUCUCACAUCUGUGUCUUCCACUAUAGUGUGAGUUUAUCCACGGCGGAGAGAAUGCCCCUUUUAGCUGCCUUUCUCCAGGACUUGACACUAUCAGUGAACAGAUAGUGAAUACAAGUAGGCCAGUUGCUUUACAUAUAUAAAUGUGAUGUACUUAUACAUAGGUGUGUGGGUGGAUGUCAUCUGUGUAGGUAUCAUCCGAGGAUAUAGUUUGAAUGUGCAUAUGACUAAAAGUAAAUGAGUUAAUUUAAUUUGACAGGACCUGUUGCACACUUAUUAUAACUAAUCAUUUUGUAAAAACAGGAGGUUAGUGAUAACAGGGACACUUCCUCCCUGGGCUCAUGGCUUAUGGGUCAGGCUUUCCAACUGUAAUGCUGAAUUCUUUAGAGUGAGUUGACUGUGAGGACAGACCCACCAGUAGAGCUCUGAGGCAGCAAAAGCAAGCUAGAAACUCUUGGGGGAAGUAAUGCAUGAAUCCAGUGCUUCUGGAACUUUCUAUGGAGUUAUAGUUCUCUUUCAGAUCUCUAUGGAAGUUUGGGAUACUCUUCCCAGAUAUUGUGUUCAAGAACACCAUUUGCAGGCCCAUUGAGGAUUAUUAAUGAAACACUUGGCUACCCACAGAUAUCAGGCACCAGGGCUGGCCCUGGUUGUUACCUCAGUGUGGUGCAAGACCACCCCAGUCUUGAGUUUUAUGAGCUAGGUACUGAGCCCCAAGGGCUGGAAGGUCAAGAAGGAGAUUUGUUUACUACAGAGGCACCAAGGUGUGUUCUCUUGGCUCAUGAUUUAAAGAAGACGACUCUGGGGUAUUGUGGCCAGGUCAAAGUUCCGUCACCAUGCUGGCCAUUGAAAGGAAUCAUGCUCCCACACUUUUGAUGGGUAGGAUCACUUUCUGACUUAGGCUUGGCCUGCCAAUAGCUUUCCAUUGAGCCAAAACAAGAACCCAUCACUCGGGGUAUCACAUUCCCCCGUCCUUGGAUGCACCAACUCAAGGGAUAUUUCUGUUUAGGUGCUGUUUCCCUGACAUUAUUUAAUGCAGUGGUUUUCGAUCUUUGGGAUCUCUACACUCUAAAAUAUCAUUGAGAACUCAGAAAGCUUCAUGUGGCUUAUAGCUAUCAAUACUAACCAUAUAAAAAUUAGAACAAAUGUUGAGAAUACUUCUUAAGUAAUUCCUUUGAAAACAAUAAUGACAAAUCCAUUUCUGAAAAUGAAAGAUGUUUGUAAUGAAAAAAAAAAGUCCGUUUCCCUUAAAAACAUCACUGAGGAAGGAUAUUCUCAUUUCUGUGAAUCUCCUAAAUGUCUAACCUAGUACAGGACAGCUAAGUUCUCAUGUCUUUUUCUUCAUUUUUACAUGUUGUGAUAGGGUGUUUUGAUGGAGCUAUGUGAAGAAAAAUCCAACCUCACAUAGCACAUUAUCAGAAAUGGGAGGAGUGUUCUAAUUUAUUUUUCAUAUAUUUUGGGAUAUUCUUUUUGAUACUACAUAAAAACUCAGAAAGUGGCAGUUUCUUAAAGGUUAGUUGUAAUAUACAUCUUGAAACCAUCUGUCUUUAACUUUAAUGUAAUCAGUAAUGAACUCAUGUGAUUUUGUGACAAUAUAUAUUUGUCACUGAGAAAACAUUGGCUCACUGAGUUAUUCAGAUCUUCCAAAUACUGACCUAUUUCUCUAGGCCUUACAAAAAAAAUUAGUUUCAUUAAUAUUACUAUGUGUCCCACUGCAAAAAUCUUUAAGUAUCAGGAAGUGAUCUUGUUCAUAGAGUAAAUACAAUUGUCCAAAGUCCUCUUUUUAAUUUGAAGAGCUUAAUUUUAUUAUUGACUACAAAUAUAUUUAGUUGUUUUGUUCACUUGUUCACUCAAAAGAAGGGUCUGUUAUCCCCAAGAUCUGAAUAAUCAUAAUUUUUUGUUAAGCUGUCUCUUCAAGAGAAAAUGAUAUUCCCCCUGGAAGUUGCUAGUUUAUCUCAUAACUCAAAAGUCUCACGUGUGCCUUCCUUGGAGACGUUAAUCAAACUUCAGGAUGUAGCCAAAGGGAAUUCCAUUUUGUCAGGAAGAAUAUGAUAAACAAUUUGUGCUUGGUAGACUAAUGGUCAUCAGAGAUGUCCACAGCCUCUUCCCUAGAACCCAUGAAUGUCACUUAUGUGGAAAACGGGAGUUUACAGUUAUGAUAAAAGUAAGAGUCUUAGGUAGGAGAUUUUUUUUGGAGGGGGGGUGUUAUGUGGGAGUCAGUCUAAUUAUACUGGUUCUUUUAAACGGAAAAUUUUUGUGAUUAUAUUCAGACAAGAGGGAGAGAUUUGAAUAUGGAGGAAAGGCACACAGAUCUGAAAUGGUGCUGGCUUUGAAGAAGGAAGGAGGCCAGGAGCCAAGGAGUGAGGGCAGCCUCUAAAGCUGGAAAGGGCCAGCACAUGGAUCCUCGUCCAUUGCCUCUGGGAUGCACCUCUGAUGACAUCUUUAAUAAAAACACAAGGUGAGACCUAGUGAGAUCUCUGCCCUGUAAUAGGAACUGCAAGAUGAGUAAACAUGUUUUAAGCCACUGGAGUAAUUUUCAAGAUGGUGGAAAUUACUAUGGACGUACUAACAUGGAUGUACACCUGGUCAAAAUACAGCAAUGUUUUGGGUUUUGUUUCAUCAAGAACAUCCUUAAAUAAAUUUGGCAAUGAAGACAGCGACUGCCAGUAGGGCUUGUUGACACCACCUGGGCUGGUGCUCAGACUCACGUAGCUCCACUCACCAAGGUUCUGCAUUCUCCAGGCAAGGGUCAACCCAGAGCAAAGGCAGGUGACAUAUCGUAGGAUUAUUCACAGGGUUUUGAAUUCACAUACCCCCUGAAAGUGUCUCGAGAACCUCCAGGGACUGUGGACCACACUUCAGAAUCACUGAUCUUCACUGAGCAAACAUUUUUAAAAGGCUCUGAGAAAUUUUUAUCUGCUUCCUGCCUUGUCCCUUCUGCCUCGCCACCACGUUCAAUUUUUGAAACAAUUCCAUGAAUUAAACUAACUCCACAGUUAUGGCAACCGACUGGCAAGGGGAGGCGGGAACUCUGGGAUCUUAGAUUUUUACUUUUAGACAUCUCCUUCCAUAAUAUGUAGAUAAAUGCAGUUUUGUUCCUUGGAAAUUUUCAACGCAACUUUGCAUUUUUAACACAUCAAUAACUUUCUGUACAUAAGCAUUUUCAGUGAUUUAAUUUUGGUUUCUGUGUAUCUAAUAUAUCCUAGUAUUUAUCGAUUUAAGUAAAAUGAAGAUGUAAAUGCAUUCGUCCUUCCAUUUCAAUACACGUUUCCAUCCAUUUCAAUCAAAUUAUUCACUUGCUUCCCUCCCAGAGAAUAAAAACAAUGAAAUCAAUGAAGUUUUCCCGUGGGGGAAAACUUCUUUGGGAAGCAGAUUCAAAUCAUCUAAACUGGAAUAUGUGAAGCUAAAAAUGUACAGUGUGGGCUUCCCGAACCUGAAGGGUAUGCACUUAAAACAUUUUUAAGUGUUCUCAGGAAGAGACAUGCUCUUUUUGAUUGAUUGAUUGAUGUUAAAAAAAAAAUUGCCAGUGAACUCAUUCAGCAAUAGCUGAAAGUUAACAGCAAUAAAAAUGGUUGGACUUUCUCUGGGAAGAGAUCCAAGAGGGCGCAGGACUUCCUACCCAUGCAACUCUAUAAUGUUGAACUAGAAGAACAAAUAGUCCCUUUAUUUUUUAUUUCCAAAGCAAGGACUGAAUGAUUUCAUUGAAAAAAAAUAAAAGAAUUUAGUUUGAUAUUGCACAGAUAUUUAUUACCUUGGUCCACAUGCCAAAUCUCUCUAAUUGACGUUUCUCAAUAUGCAUAUAACUUUUAUUAAUAACUUGAUGUCUUGCAAAGUGGGUGUCUCAUGAAUACUGCAAGCUGCUCAUUUCCUAAGAGCUUGCAGGAAGGUGUGGGUAUAGCCACAUCAAGACAGAGGCAGAGUUUCUACCAUGAAGCGUGUGCCAGUGGAGAAGCCCAAGGAGUGGACGGACACAAGGAAAAAGAGCUUCUUAGAGUAGAAGCUGGGCACCAGGUGGGCAGGAAAGAGGCUGGCAGUUAGAUGGCAGAAAAUAGGAGAUUUUGGCAAAUAUACAUGUUUGGUGGGAUUUUUUUAAAGUUUGUUAUUGGAUAUGAAAGCAUCAGAAAAAUAUGUACAAAAAUGUACAGUUCUCAUUAAUGCCAUUGGUGCAAAUGGAUUCAUUCUGAAGAAUAAGAUUUUUGAUUUCUGCUUCAAAAUUGGCAUGUGUAGACAAGAAGAGCUGAGAUCUGGGUGGCAUGUUGCGUAUAGGCUACAGACAAUCUAUAUGAAACAGAGUGAGGUGUGUGUUUGCUGUCUUGCAAUCAAUAAAGCUUAUUUGAACACAAGGAGGUAACUUCAAUACUUGAAUAGAGGUGAGCGUUGGGAUCAGAAGUAAGUGGGUUCUGUGCCUACCUGUGAGUAGACAAACAUAGCUCAGGCUCGGCAAGUCAGAGUUUCAUAAUGGCUCUAUCUCCAACUCCAUCAGCAAGGGGAAAUGAAAAUUUUGUUCUUUUGGUGUAUGAAUACAAUUUGGUAUAUGAAUAAAAUUGUUUCAUGCUUAUUGUCCACCAGCUCCAUCCAGAUCCAUUGCAACCUUCUCUCUCAGAGCAAUCUUGUUUUACGUAUGAGGAAAACAAACAAAUAAAUAAAAAUCCAAGAGUAUGGGAUUUGCUCAAGAUCCUUGGCCAGUGAUUGCUUCUAAUAGAUAUUUCUCCUAUAAUUUCUGAUCUGUGGCAACCUCACUAAAUCCUCCUGACCUGGAGAACUGAGGUGCGGAACAGGUGGGAACAGGGAUGCUGGGGUUUACUGGCCUGCCUGGUGUGGAAGUUCCCCUCCGUCUAUACCACCAUUCUCUGUCCAGACAGACAGCACGGUGUGUCAGGAGUGGCACAUGACAGAGCUCAUGAUUCAGCAUCUGGAUGCGGGGCUCAGGUACUGGUUUUCAUAGACCUGACUCUGCCUUCUGCUGGUCACAAACACCCCUUUCUCUUCUUUCCAAGUAAUGGGUGCACAACAUUCCCCAACCUCCCUCAUAAUUAUGGGUGACAACAUGACUGCAUUUUGGUCAACUCAAUGUGAGCUGGAGUACAGAGUGUCACCUUCACUUCUAGGACUGUCCCUCAAAAGCCUCCUGUGUGAGAAUCACCCCAGAGCAAUCCUGGAAGCCCCACCCGGAUCUGCGGAUUCCUGAGUGACUGCGGGGCACGGAUUCCUUCCUGCGUUGGCCCUGCUGCUGGCGGCACUUUAUGUGAGGGGGAAGGGAUUUAUCUUAUUUUAAGUGAUAGAGAAUUUGUGAUCUAAUCCGUUGUAAUAACCAGUCCUAUCUUAGUAAAUUUAGAAUAUGUGAAUAUUUUCUGCUACUGCUCUUCGUAGGGAUGGCUACUAGUUACGGUGGAGAAGACGAUUCCUAUUUACAAAUGAAGAAAAACCGAGUCUCACGCCGGAAAAGGGAAUCUCAGGGCCACAUAGGAGUUAGAUGGAAGGACCUGGAUUAGGAGCCGAGUCUUCAGUCCAACUGAAUUCCAUGCCCUGUUGCACAGGUACUCUCCUACCCCCUUGGCUUGACCCACUCUGCUCCUUCCUCCAUGUCCACACAGAGCCAAAGAGCUCUUUGAUUCCAUCUGGGAAUAUUUCUUGAUUCAGUGGAAAGCAAGUGCUGAGUUAGUCUUGACAACUUACAGUGCUCCUCAUGUCUGCUCCCCGGUGCCGUCAGGGGGUCUAGGGAGCCGUUAUGGUGCCUGCUGGCAGGAUGUCUCUAAGGGUGGUGCCCACCACCCAGACCAGUGGGAAACGAUAGGGUAGUGUCCCUACGGCUCUGGCAUGCUGAACACGCCGCUCUGUGGUCUACACUGAGUCUCUUUCCAGUGAGUGUUCCUGGCCACCUAGCUGGCUAGCUUAAGAAUAAAGAAAGGUCUAUCCCAUGGCAGAUCGAGGAUGGAAACAUGCAAGGGUGGGAAGGACAGUCCUGCUCUUGGUGUGGACACUUUCCCCCCAUUCUUCAGGUCCAGUUUACACCACUGGGUCCAGGGUUUCCUUAGUGCAAUCCCCCUCCUAAACCUUCAGCUCCUAGCAUCUGAGAACACAUCACUGAGGCCUCAGUUCUCCAAGGCAUUCUUGAGGAAGGAGGUGGGCUGGGAGAAAUGGGUAAAGGGAGAUUCUUCAGAAGCAACAUGAGGAAACCAGGGGGUUGGGUUGCUUCUGAGAUGGCAGUCUCUCAGUUUAGCUGUACUGUAGGAAAUAGGUAUCUCUGUACAGGAUGCCGGGGGUGGCUGUUGCAGGGCUCAGGCACAUAGACACUGGGUGAACAAACAGCUGUCCAGAAUGACUCCUGCCCUCCUCCAGCAGCCCUGGGGCUCUCCUGGAUCACCCAACUGAAGGACAACCCCAGGGCAAUCCAGAUCUUUGCUCUUACCCAGAGGCCAGAGGCUGAUCCAGCUGGUCAGGCCCCACUGAGGACACUAUUUCUGCUCCCUGCAAGGUGAGUGACGUGGUGAUUCACAUUCUUUUGUAUGUAUAUAUUCUGAAAUAGCUUAGGUAGUGCACGGAGUGCAAAGUGAGUGUUCAUAUCUUUGGAAGGAGGACAUGGAUGAUUAGUCUCAAUUUUAAAUGAGCAUGACAACCACGUUUACUGAACAGAGUGCUGUGUGCGUGGCACACAGGGAGGUGAGGUGUGCACAGGCACAAUGGGGCGUGUGCUGUUCAUGAUGGACAGACAUCUUUGGGUGUAGUCAGCCUGAUCGCACGAACCAUCCUCUGACCCUCUUCUUCCAUCAGGGCAUGAAGACUUUGCUUGGCUGUGGUGAAUUCCUCCUGGUAGAAGUCCUUCCAUCUGUAGCUACACACCUGCCACCCACUCAGAGAUGCUUUUGAGAUUCUGGGCUGGCCCAGCUCCUGCCAGCACACAGUGUGACCUUGGGGGCUCUGAAUGGACUGGGUAGCAUGAGACUUGACCUCCACCCUCAUUAAGUGGCCUCUCCAUGAGGUCUGCUGGUGUGUACACAGCAACAAUUAGCCAACACGAAGGGGUAGGUGUGGAUGGGAUAUUCUUGGGAUCUGAUGCCUCAGGGUGUGCUUAUGAAAGAAGGACAUACAUGUUCAGGCUGGACUUCUAGGAAGACCAGUAUAAAAGACUAAGUGUUGAGUUAACUGUUCAAAAUACACUGAAAUUUUCCAAACCAGUUUGUGCAUUGAAUUUGUGCAUUGAAUUCCUUUGGUCUCGUGGUUGGUGACCAACAAAGCAGCCAAGUGUAUACCCACCCUGCAAGAGGCAUGGGGUUCUUGUCUUUGUCUUCAACCCCCGCAUUUCCCACCACGAAGGCCCUUGGUUUCCUCUUUUUUGUUAGUAGAAUUCACUUUCUCUGCCUUUGAUCCUUGCUACCUUGUAGCAAAGGAAAUGUCCUUUGCUAAUCCUUGACAGUCUCCAUUUCCAGCUGAAUUUGGGUAAUAGUAUUUCUAGCCAGAAGCUCCAGGACCCCUGUCCUCAUGUCAACCCACGUGGGUCACAGAGAGAGAGAACAGGAAAGACCAUGUUGGCCAGCUGUGAUACCUAUUCUUGUGUCUGUCUCUCCUGAAGCCAUGUCUCUACCUCUAGAACAAUCCCCACAUGCUGUGUGCCCAGAGUGUGGAGGGAAAGAAUGGAAAAUAGUGUGGAGGUGGCGUCAGCUUACCAGGAACUGAAACAAAGGACAAGUUCAUGAGCAGUUGCUCAGUACAGUUCUUAGGUUGACAACUUGGUAACAGCGUGAAAACAAAUUAAGCCAAAGAAAUACCUCCCCUGAGAUGCUUCAUUACCUUCCCCGUCUAGGUGCGGGCGCCAUUAAGGCAAAUUAUUGCCUCUCAAAUAUUUUUAGCUCGAUGCCCAUUUCCGUCUGCAUUUGCCUUAGAGGUACAUGUUUUCAACUAAGUAAUGGGACAUACAAAUUAAAUGCAAUUUCAAAUUUAAACCUGUACAAGUGUCACUUACCAAGUCCCCCCUGAUAGUCCCAGGGGGAUGCCCACAGCACUGUUGGAAAGUAUAUUACUGUACUUGGUUCCUAUUAUUUAGUCCAAGAGAUUCUUAUUAAAAUAAAAGCCAGCAAUAAGGUUAAUAUUUUAUAUUCUGUGCAACCACAGUGCAUCCUUGGGUCCUAACAAAUAGAUUUAUUUUUUUAUAUCUUUCUUCUCGUCUGUUAUUUUUUUAUUUCACAAUGAGCAUAUUGGCAUAUACAUAUAAACAUCCACCUAGGACAUUUCAAAAUUAAAAGGUAGCUUGUGUUAUAAUUUUUUAAAAAAACUGAAAACGAUUACAUAAAAAGGUUGAUAUACCCAAGUUCAGAAUUCUGGCUGGAUGUUAAGCCCUAAAAGGUGGCACUCAGCCUUCAACUCAGCCGAGGCAGCAGCCAGGGAGACCAGGCGGACUUUUGUGGGGGAUGCUGGUCAGGUGACACUGUCACUGUGACUCUAUUUCUUGUCUUGCUUCUCCGCCAGUCCUGGCCACCCUGGAGUCUGGCUCACUCUCUGCUGUGGUUAUUCCAGACCCCAGUGUCCCCACCCACGUCACUUAGCACAGCUGAAGCAGAGCUGACUUACUGGACCUCCCACACCGAGUGGCCGGGCUGUGCCGCCUCGGUCUCUGUUUUCCUGACAACAGUGUCACAGCCAGCACAGAGAGGGUGCUUCCAACCGAGGCCCUGCUGAGACCCUCUUGGACUCAGAGCUUUCUUGCCCACCUGGACCCUGGCUUUUCCAUCAUCGGAUUCUUCACUUCUGUUCAUGUACCGGCGAGUCCCGGGGCCCUGAGUGUGGCCCUGGUGUCAUCUGUGCCUUCUGCUACCUAACUGCUAAGAAAACCUCAUUUAAAUUAUUUUAAAAACAAACAUGGCAAGAAGAUGUUGAGCCUUUAAAAAGUGCGGAUGUGACCGCCCACAGCUCGAGGUGCGGCUUCAGGUCCCUCGCUUCGCUCUCCAGACUGUGGAUUCACUGGGGGAUGAAGGACCUGGAUGAGACACCAGCUCUGUGUCCUCCACGUCCUCGCGGCUUCCUUUCUAGUUCACAAGAGUCGGCUAUGAACACUGUGAAUGCAAAUGGAAUUCCAUAAUGAUCUUUAUGCAGUUCCUGUCAGACAUCGACCGUUACACAACGUAAUACUCCUGUCCAGUGUUUGGGUGAAGAUCCUCAAGAUCAUAAAAUGAUUUCCCUGAAGAGGAAUGUUUUCCGAUUGGAGAGACCAUGCCAUGCUAUAAGGCCAAGCAUGUGCUCGCGGAACCAGGAGGCUCAGAGUACAUCUACAGGAAAACCGGGAAGCCACUGGACUCUGAGAUUACCAGGCCAUGUAGCAAGAGCCCAAGGAUUUAACAGGAAAAAUGGCAAGGAAUUCCACUCCUUCAAAGAUGGUCAUUGCAACUCUGCUCUGUGCUGUGUCAUCAAGCUCAGCCCAGAACAUUGAAGACACAAAGAAUACAAAGAAUAAAAAACGUGGAAGCUCAAGGCUGCCACCAGUAACUGGUGUGUGUGUGUGUGUGUGUGUGUGUGUAGGGAGUUCUAGAAACUUGGUAUUUUUAUGCACGCACCUUUCUGUAAGUUUAAAAGAUGGUGGACCCACAAUUAAGCCGUUGCUUUGCCCAUCCUAGGUUACUAACAUAAGCCCUUUCCAUGUUGUAGCACAGUGCUGAUAGUUAUCAUUCUACUCUGCCAGAAUUUAAUUAUUCUUUGCUCUGUGAUUGAUUGUUAAGGUUUUCCAUAUUCCCUUUGUUUUAUUACAAAUAACACUUCAAUGAAAAUCUCUGUGAACAGAAAUUCUAUUUGUUUUUAGAUUAUUUCCUUUGAGUAAAUCUUCCCAAAUACUAAACUGUUGGAGUUGUAUUUUCUCUCUAACUACUUAUCGGUUUUAGGCAAUAUUGAUGAACUCUUCUCCAUAGAAGACAAAAUUGGUUAUCUCAGGCAACGCUGCUUCUUCUUAUUCCUUCAUAAACCAUGUUAGGUACACUGUGCUUGGUCAAGGUUCCGGUAACAUCCCUGCUGACCUGCAUCAUGGUUCCUUUAGAUGAUGGGCGGGGACUUUAUCUAAGUGGAUGCAGUUUCUCCUUUCCCAAGUGUAAUUUUUGGAUUCCUUUCUCUCACUGGAUUUCAUCACUGAGUUUUUCCAAAGCUCUGAUCUUAUGAUUGAGAAACAUCCCGAAGCUUCUCAUGUCUGAAAAUAUCUUGUAUUUUAUGCUGUGCAUAUGGCUAAUAGUAGCUAGUAGAAUUCUAGCUAAUAAAUUUCCAUCAUAGGAUACAACAAAGGAAAUUGUGUAUGGCAUCAUGAUUCAGAUCCCAGACCCUGUAGACAAGGAUAUUUGCCCUUGAUCUGGGCCGUGCCGUUUAACUAACUGUGUGACCUUGGGGACAUAUUCUAACCUGCACAGGCCUCAGAGUCCUCCACUGAAAUAUGGGGCUGGUAAAGAAAGCUGCUUUGUUAGGGGGCCAUGAAGUUCAGGUGACAUGAUGUGAAUGGGGGCCUCUGGUUCUGGGUACCCAGCAAACAAUUAAUAGUAAUGGCUGGGACUCAGCAUUUCUAAAUGCACUUUAUUUAACAAUUUAUCCGGGAUGAGUAGUUUAGUGUUGUUAUUAUUACUGUUGUCCAAUUUCAAGGGCACCUUUUGUGCACGUCUCCGUCUCUUUCUCCUCCCACUCAGCAGAACAUUCCUCAGAGGCCAGAGCUUUCUCCUCCUCUCCUUGUGGACCCCAAGGUUUGCAGAGGGCAUCAAUACACGUUUGACACUGAGGGAAGAAAUGAACCAAUGAAAAUCAAAUUUUAACCCCUAUUGAGGUGUUCUUCUUCAUUGGAUGUGUGCCUUUUUGGUUCUGAGGGAGGCUACAAAUUGCAAUUUUGCUCAAUUCUACCUUCAGUUUUGAGCUGCUAAACCUUUGCCUACAAUCANCAUCACUGAGUUUUUCCAAAGCUCUGAUCUUAUGAUUGAGAAACAUCCCGAAGCUUCUCAUGUCUGAAAAUAUCUUGUAUUUUAUGCUGUGCAUAUGGCUAAUAGUAGCUAGUAGAAUUCUAGCUAAUAAAUUUCCAUCAUAGGAUACAACAAAGGAAAUUGUGUAUGGCAUCAUGAUUCAGAUCCCAGACCCUGUAGACAAGGAUAUUUGCCCUUGAUCUGGGCCGUGCCGUUUAACUAACUGUGUGACCUUGGGGACAUAUUCUAACCUGCACAGGCCUCAGAGUCCUCCACUGAAAUAUGGGGCUGGUAAAGAAAGCUGCUUUGUUAGGGGGCCAUGAAGUUCAGGUGACAUGAUGUGAAUGGGGGCCUCUGGUUCUGGGUACCCAGCAAACAAUUAAUAGUAAUGGCUGGGACUCAGCAUUUCUAAAUGCACUUUAUUUAACAAUUUAUCCGGGAUGAGUAGUUUAGUGUUGUUAUUAUUACUGUUGUCCAAUUUCAAGGGCACCUUUUGUGCACGUCUCCGUCUCUUUCUCCUCCCACUCAGCAGAACAUUCCUCAGAGGCCAGAGCUUUCUCCUCCUCUCCUUGUGGACCCCAAGGUUUGCAGAGGGCAUCAAUACACGUUUGACACUGAGGGAAGAAAUGAACCAAUGAAAAUCAAAUUUUAACCCCUAUUGAGGUGUUCUUCUUCAUUGGAUGUGUGCCUUUUUGGUUCUGAGGGAGGCUACAAAUUGCAAUUUUGCUCAAUUCUACCUUCAGUUUUGAGCUGCUAAACCUUUGCCUACAAUCAACCACAUCCCACAGAUCAGGUCUCAUCCCCCAGUGAGUGCAGAUGGUGUCCAAUUAGCAUACUUAAAAAUGCAUUUCUAAGGGGUCAUAGAUCUUAUGUAUACAGAUAUAUAUAUCAAGAUUCUGCUUAUCAUCUUAGGAUGUCUGUGACCCCCUCCACGGCCAACCUCUUGCCUUUAAGUGCUGUCCUUGAAACUAAGGCCCAAUCCAGGACCUUGAUAAACCCAAAUGCCUCGCUGAUCUAAACAAAAGCCAGUCUGAGCGUGUCAGGUUGGCAUCCAGGAGGGGAGGACCCCAUGCAUGGAGAGCCAGGUCACAUGCUUCUUUCUCCUUCAUUUUAGGUGGCUGGGGGAGCUAAAAAAUGUGUGUGGGUGAGGGAGAAGUUAUUUCUUGAUGAUUUUCUCUCUCUGUGUCUCUUUUUUUUUUAACCCAAGGACCAGGGUCAGGAAGAAUCCACCCCAAGGGUAGUUGGAGGGAAGAAAAAUAACAAGGCUCGGUGGCGUCUGGGGACCAGAGCACUGUUCGCAUCCGCUGUAAUCAUCAGUGCAUGGCUGGGCUGUCUGGGUAAUUUACAUAACACCCUCCUGACACCUUCACUUCAGUUAUCCAUCACCACCGCGUGGCGUUUCCUUCCCUGGCGCUCUGGCUCACUCUCUCCCUCCGUCCAUCUUCCCCUCUCUCCAAUCCCUCAUUUUUGACUUCUUCCUCCCACUGGCCCUCUUGUUUUUCUGCUUUUUUUUCUUCCUUUCUUCAUUUACACUUAUGUGUAGACAGCCAAGAAAAAAAGAAAAAGAGGUGGAUUUCAACAUCCUUUCUCUCCUUCUUGCUCAACUCACAUGCAUUCAGUAAGUGACGGAGAACCAAGUCAACGGAGUUGGCGGAAGAAGAGAGCUCCCUCUUAUGUAAUAUACAGGAUCACUGGGGACGGGGAGCAGUGUUGCUUCAAUAUAUGUACACAUGACCACACUGGGGAACGAGGGCGCCAGUGCAUACACUGUAGCAAACAUAAAUCAGUGUAUACUUUGCAUUGAACAUAAAUUUGCAAAUAUUGAAAAAUUGGACACUGAGUAGUCAAUUCAUCUUUUAGUAUAACCCAGAGAGCCCAUGAAUACAUAAAUCCAAGGAUCUCACAUACCUAGGAACAUAACCAAGGCAUGGUGCUGAUAGUUUUCUGAGACUGUUUCAAUUGAUUGUGUUUUAAUUGUUACGCCCAAGCAAAUAGGCAAAUAAUCAAUGGGAUCAAUAGUUUUUUCCCUUCAUGGAACAUUGUAGGGAAAAACGAAUGGCUUGGAAAAUUAUGUAAAAAUACCUAGAAAACCUGUUGCGCAGAGUACAUACUUUGUGGUCUUAUUAAUAUAAGUGAACAUCAUUAUGAAAUGUUUGACAAAGACCGAGGAAAGCCAAGGUCACUGGGGAUAGAAUGUUAGGAAAUGGCAAUUUAUGUGCAUCUGAGUUUUAAAGAUAGAAAUUAUUGAAUUGAAUUGGCUCUAAUGCUUUUUCAUAAACUUAAUUCUUUCUUUCUUAAUGCCUGUUGUACCCCACAGUUCUCCCUCAAUUUUUUCUCUUUUGUUUUAUUCUAAAAUAGAUAGCCUAGAUAAAUGGACCCAUGGAUAAAUAGCACAUGCUUCCAACAAUUGCUUCUUGAAAGGCAGGGCCACUGUUUUAGCUCUGCUUGUAGAGCAUUUUAAAAAGAAAUACUGAUGCUUAGACGCCCACAAACUGAAUUGGAGUUUUCAAAUGAAGAGUGGCUAUGAGGUUCCUACAUAGUUAAAUGUUUACCAUUUAGUGUUUUGCCCAUGCACUUCUGGAACAUUCUAGCAUCAUUCCUGUUGAUAAUGUGAUGCCAUUAAGGGAAUAUCCAGUAGCUUUUUUUUUUUGUAAUGUGAAAAACAUUCAUCAUUCACAGUGACAUAUUCUCAUCAUGGCUACUUUUGGGUCCUGAAUUCCAGGCCCGUGCUAUGAAUUUCAUUUCCAUUAUCACCCAUAUCCUGAUCACAAUGUCACAUGGUGGGGACUGUGAUUCUCUCCAUUACAUAGAUAAAUAAGGGAAGACCCUCAGACAGCAGUGAGUUGCCCAAGACCACUCGCCAGGAAGAUGCAGAGCGAGGACGGAAAGCAGGGUACAGCUUUACGAGGCCCACCGUAGGCAGCGAUGAAUGACAGCAGUGUACCGUUGACUUGUGAUUGACACACUGUUGAUAUCAAAAUAAAAGUGGGAAAUCUAGAGGAGUAAAAUUACUUAUGGCAAGUGGGUGAACUAGCCUGGGACUUCUAGACGUCAAGGGGUUGGGUUGCUUGCCUUCAUGUGUCCUCAGUGUCUUAGUUGGGGAUGGAUGACGUCGCUGGAACUCAGCAGAUGCCUGUGGAAGUGACUACCUUUUCAAUGCCAAAGAUUCUGUCUGUGCUUGGAGAGGUGAGGUGUGUACCUCCUGUGGUGAUAAUCAGGAGGUACCUGGCUCACCAGCUUUGUUGACGGAGAGACUCACUACUUGUGUAUCUCUGUGCACAAAUUGUCCUCAUUUUUUUUCCAGUUGCUAUUUUCUAUAAUGAUGGGAAAGAACUCAACAGGUUCUGAAUCACGCUCAGAGGAAGCAUUCACAAAUGUUUGGCCACUUGGCCACUUGUCUUAGCAGGAGUCACAUCAGGGAUUAUGGGAAAAAUUGAAGUUAUCUUGAGAUUGAAUGCUAAUGCCUCUUUCUCCAUCACUAGCAGAGCGCCCUGCAAACAGGGACACUGUGUUUGUCUGAGCAGCAUUUCCCUACUGAGGAGGGUCCCUAUGAAUGUCUGGAACCUUACUGGCCGAAGAAGCAAGGAGGCCACCCGCUUUCAGUCCAGAGCUUGGCAUCUGGGAGGAGCAGACCACUGCCUUUGCAGUCAGAGGACACAGGAGGAGACCUCGCCAGCAGAAUUCCCACUGGACAGGUCUGUUCCAAGCUGCUGAAUGGAUGGAUCCCUGAAGAAAGAUGCUGUCUCUACCCCUUAUCCCUUACCUUCUCAGAGGGUAGAGUUUCACAUUUCUGCUUGGGAACCCAGAUGUCAGACUUCUCAAACAGAACCCAGAGUUCAUAAUACACAGAGUGGAAGGUAAAAGUCAGAAAAGACUAGAAGAAGCACCACUUGGCUUGAAGGGACUCUUCUCUGGAAGUUCCAUACCAACCCAAUCAGAUUCCACUAGUGCUCCACGAAUGCUCUCCUCCUUCCCCUAGACCCUUCCCAAUGCUCUGAUGCCAAUACACAUUAUUCCAAUUGCUCAGAGCAUUCUGUCUAUCUAUCUAUCUGUCUAUCUAUCUAUCUAUCUAUCUAUCUAUCUAUCUAUCUAUCUAUAUUUCUACCUACCUACCUAUCUAUCCAUCCAUCUAUCUUCUGAACUUGAUUUUGUAUUCAUGAAUUUGUUUACUUUCAUUUAUUCACUCAACAAAUGUUUGGAUACAAGAUUUGGGACUGUUUGCUGUUAGAGUUUGCUCAUUGCCUUGGUUCUGCAUGGAAUGCAAAGUCUCUGAGCUCAGGGAUCAUGUCUCUGACCGCACCCUCCCACUAGGUACCGCACCCAGGUCCAUGAUCACACUGCUAAAUGAACACAGGAUGGGUGCAGGAAUGAUCCAGGCCCUGCGGCAGACACUGGGAGGGCGAAAGUCAUUCAGAAAUGGCUUCUUCCUGGCCUUGAGUGGCUCAGGCUUUGUGGACUAUCACUUCUACCUGAAGAAGAGCACCCAUGAGCCUGCAGCCACACGCCCAGUGUCAGCAGAGACACACCCUCCAUAUAUAACUGGUGACUUGGUGGAGCGUCCUCCACCAAGUCAUGAACCAUGAGCCUGUAGAAGUAGUUGUCAUGUCAGAAUGAACUAGACAUUCUUUGGGAUGCUGGCCCAGCAGAUGCUCUGUCGGUACUGCUGAAUCUGACACUCGAAAGGAGCCUCCCCAGCCCACUCCAUGUGGGGAACCCCAGGGCUCAACGUGGCAAUGAGGACCAAAGGUAGCAGCAAGAGAACAGGAAGAGUAGAGCUGCCCUUCACCGAGUCCUCAGCACCUCCAGGAGCAAGCUAAACACUGGAUCGACGUAUCACUUAAUCCGCACAGUGACGCAGGGAGCUGAUGCUCAUGUCUGUGUUCUGUAGGUCCGGACACUUGCCGGGGUACGUUGUGAUUGCAGUAGUACCUGCUGUGCCGUGGAAGGCCCACUAUCCCAUCCAAACCAGUCUCUCUCCAGAGUGUGUGCCUUCCACCCAUGAAGACACUGGUCUUCUGCACAAACCUGGGCAUGGGGACACAUGACUCUACCUGGAGAUGAGCCGCUGCUGUCCGGAUCCCUUUUCCUAUUUGGGCAAAUCCAGUCUCAGCACUGGUAAGAGUUUCAAAAUUUCUGUUUUUUUAUAAACCAAGAUAAUAAUGAUAAUAAUUUGUUCUGGGGACUGAACCCAGGGGCAUUUUUACCACUAAACUACUCCACCGGUCCUUUUAAAUUUUUUAUUUGGAUACAAGGUCUUGCUAACGACUAAGUUUCUUGCUAAAUUGUUCACAUUGACCUUUAACUGGUGAUCCUUCUGCCCUAGGCUCCCUGGUGGCUGGGGUAUAGGUGUGGUUUCUAAGCUUCUCCUACAUCUUCAUCUGAGCACGUUAUCCACAUAACACUUAAAAAAAUACUUCUAUUUUUAAUUUAUACACAUAUUUGUACAUAUUUGUGCAGCAUGAUAACUGGAUACAUGUACACACAGUGAUUCUUUAAUGCCUUUAUAUUCACAAUUGUCUGGCAUUUGCCAUGAAACUCCUAGCUCCUUCCAAGAAUGCUCAUGACCUAAUUGUGCACUGAAUAUGUUAUUUUUCCUCUUAAUAAAUCUACAAAGCUGGGCAGAAUCCUCCUGGAAUUUUCAUGCAGAGAGGAAUUCUCAUCAAACAAGUAAUAUCGAGCUUCUAUUGGAUACAGCUGCACUAGAUUCUACCAGUCCUUGAUUAAACUGCAUCCACAGAAAUAUUCCCCUACCCCAUACACACCAAAAAAAAAAAGACAGGAAGAAGGAGAGAAGUCCAAAAAGCAAUUGUACCUGUGUAGCGGGUCCCCUCUUUCCACAGGCUGGGCUUGGGUGCUGUUUUCACACCCCCCACCUGCAAAUCCAGAGAAUCCGGAGCCCUCCAGACUUCCUCCAGGGCUGUUUUUGCCGUUGUUAUAGCUAACGUUAUGGAAGUUACUUUAUUAAGAUUGGAGUUUAUGCUAUGAAUCGAAUUAAGUCGCAAAUACAUAUACAGUUCAUUCUGUCUUUUAGCAAGGUCCCACUCUCACUUUCUCUCUUGAUAAAGAAAACCAUUAGCUCCUGUCAGAACCGCAAGGAGGGAGAUCAUUUUUAUUGAAAUAAGAAGGAAAUGAUAAUGUCAGGCACUGAGUCCGAGAGAUAAAAUAUUACAUCUAAUAAACAUGCUACAUAUGGGAUUCGACAAGGGGUCCUUGAAUUACGGAACAACAGAAGCUUCAGAAAAACAAUAACAUUAAUAUUGAAAAAUAAUGACUACCACUUCCAUCAUGGAAAAAAAACCCCGCAUUUUAAUAAACAGGAGGGAAAUUCAGGAAACUCCAAGAAAACAGCUAAUGACAUCCCUUGCCUUAGAAGGAUUAUCAAGGUGAACCAGCAGAAUGGUGGGCACCAGGCCUGGGAGAGUCCAGAAUUCAGAAAAACAAGGAGACUUGACUGAAAAGCAAAAGAUAUUUUAAAAAACUGUAGAAAAGUAAAUUCGAGGAUAGAGACAGGGCCAUGAUUUGUGAGGGGUGGGGGUGUGUCAUGAAAUGGCUGUGGGGGGACAGUGGCAUACGACUCUAUUUGCCAUCAGUGGUCAAAUCAGCACCUCUCUACUGCAGACUGUCUUGUCCCUUACUCCCCACCUCAGGGACACAUCUUGGGAUGUGCCUUUAGUGGGCAAUGGUCACACAUCCCCUUACAACAUCAAAGAGCCACCUGGCCUCAAAUGUCAAGAAUUCCAUGCUUGAGAAUCCAGGGUUUAAACCUGUUUUUCUCAUUUUCCUGUCAAAAGAGUCCACUUGCUUGUAACCGACUCCACACUCCUUCUCUUGGGGUCCACACUGGGCUCUCGAGUCAUGAUUUGUGUUUUGACAGGCUCUGGCUCAUCAGCAUCUUCUAAAUAGAAUUUGAGCGUUAUUAUUGAGGACAUCAAAACUACAUCCAUCAAUGAGCAGUCACAAUAGAGGUUGCUUGUCAAGGAGCCACUAUCUCUGAUUUAGCAGACACACCCGGGAGGAAGUCACCGAAUCUCAGAUAUGGAGAGAGGAACUGGGAGAAAGGUGUACAAGCUGCUAAUUCAGGAUGCCGCUCAAUUCUGUCUUAGCCCACAGAGGCUUGGUCCUUUUGGGCAAGUACGGGGCUUUUACAACCUCAGUACUAAUAACACACGAGGCUUGGUAACUUCUUCCUGGGGGUGGUGAUAGGGCUGUCCAAGUGCUUCAGGAUGUCAGCAUCAUCGCUGACCACUACUCCCUAGAUGCCAGGGCUCCUCCCUCCCACCACCCUCAUCAUGACAACCCAAAAGUUCUCUGGCCAUUGCCAACCUUCUCCUGGAGAGUGAAAUUGCCCCUGUGGAGAACUGUUAGCUUGGACAGUGCAUACUUUGGAGUUUCAGCCCUGAAACACUCUGAGGACUGCAGAGAUGGAAAACAAAUGGGUCGGAAUAAGAAAAGACCAAUCCCUCACCAUCUUGCCUUCCCCCACCCUUAGAAAUGCACCUGCUUUAUCUGNAUGCUGUCUCUACCCCUUAUCCCUUACCUUCUCAGAGGGUAGAGUUUCACAUUUCUGCUUGGGAACCCAGAUGUCAGACUUCUCAAACAGAACCCAGAGUUCAUAAUACACAGAGUGGAAGGUAAAAGUCAGAAAAGACUAGAAGAAGCACCACUUGGCUUGAAGGGACUCUUCUCUGGAAGUUCCAUACCAACCCAAUCAGAUUCCACUAGUGCUCCACGAAUGCUCUCCUCCUUCCCCUAGACCCUUCCCAAUGCUCUGAUGCCAAUACACAUUAUUCCAAUUGCUCAGAGCAUUCUGUCUAUCUAUCUAUCUGUCUAUCUAUCUAUCUAUCUAUCUAUCUAUCUAUCUAUCUAUCUAUAUUUCUACCUACCUACCUAUCUAUCCAUCCAUCUAUCUUCUGAACUUGAUUUUGUAUUCAUGAAUUUGUUUACUUUCAUUUAUUCACUCAACAAAUGUUUGGAUACAAGAUUUGGGACUGUUUGCUGUUAGAGUUUGCUCAUUGCCUUGGUUCUGCAUGGAAUGCAAAGUCUCUGAGCUCAGGGAUCAUGUCUCUGACCGCACCCUCCCACUAGGUACCGCACCCAGGUCCAUGAUCACACUGCUAAAUGAACACAGGAUGGGUGCAGGAAUGAUCCAGGCCCUGCGGCAGACACUGGGAGGGCGAAAGUCAUUCAGAAAUGGCUUCUUCCUGGCCUUGAGUGGCUCAGGCUUUGUGGACUAUCACUUCUACCUGAAGAAGAGCACCCAUGAGCCUGCAGCCACACGCCCAGUGUCAGCAGAGACACACCCUCCAUAUAUAACUGGUGACUUGGUGGAGCGUCCUCCACCAAGUCAUGAACCAUGAGCCUGUAGAAGUAGUUGUCAUGUCAGAAUGAACUAGACAUUCUUUGGGAUGCUGGCCCAGCAGAUGCUCUGUCGGUACUGCUGAAUCUGACACUCGAAAGGAGCCUCCCCAGCCCACUCCAUGUGGGGAACCCCAGGGCUCAACGUGGCAAUGAGGACCAAAGGUAGCAGCAAGAGAACAGGAAGAGUAGAGCUGCCCUUCACCGAGUCCUCAGCACCUCCAGGAGCAAGCUAAACACUGGAUCGACGUAUCACUUAAUCCGCACAGUGACGCAGGGAGCUGAUGCUCAUGUCUGUGUUCUGUAGGUCCGGACACUUGCCGGGGUACGUUGUGAUUGCAGUAGUACCUGCUGUGCCGUGGAAGGCCCACUAUCCCAUCCAAACCAGUCUCUCUCCAGAGUGUGUGCCUUCCACCCAUGAAGACACUGGUCUUCUGCACAAACCUGGGCAUGGGGACACAUGACUCUACCUGGAGAUGAGCCGCUGCUGUCCGGAUCCCUUUUCCUAUUUGGGCAAAUCCAGUCUCAGCACUGGUAAGAGUUUCAAAAUUUCUGUUUUUUUAUAAACCAAGAUAAUAAUGAUAAUAAUUUGUUCUGGGGACUGAACCCAGGGGCAUUUUUACCACUAAACUACUCCACCGGUCCUUUUAAAUUUUUUAUUUGGAUACAAGGUCUUGCUAACGACUAAGUUUCUUGCUAAAUUGUUCACAUUGACCUUUAACUGGUGAUCCUUCUGCCCUAGGCUCCCUGGUGGCUGGGGUAUAGGUGUGGUUUCUAAGCUUCUCCUACAUCUUCAUCUGAGCACGUUAUCCACAUAACACUUAAAAAAAUACUUCUAUUUUUAAUUUAUACACAUAUUUGUACAUAUUUGUGCAGCAUGAUAACUGGAUACAUGUACACACAGUGAUUCUUUAAUGCCUUUAUAUUCACAAUUGUCUGGCAUUUGCCAUGAAACUCCUAGCUCCUUCCAAGAAUGCUCAUGACCUAAUUGUGCACUGAAUAUGUUAUUUUUCCUCUUAAUAAAUCUACAAAGCUGGGCAGAAUCCUCCUGGAAUUUUCAUGCAGAGAGGAAUUCUCAUCAAACAAGUAAUAUCGAGCUUCUAUUGGAUACAGCUGCACUAGAUUCUACCAGUCCUUGAUUAAACUGCAUCCACAGAAAUAUUCCCCUACCCCAUACACACCAAAAAAAAAAAGACAGGAAGAAGGAGAGAAGUCCAAAAAGCAAUUGUACCUGUGUAGCGGGUCCCCUCUUUCCACAGGCUGGGCUUGGGUGCUGUUUUCACACCCCCCACCUGCAAAUCCAGAGAAUCCGGAGCCCUCCAGACUUCCUCCAGGGCUGUUUUUGCCGUUGUUAUAGCUAACGUUAUGGAAGUUACUUUAUUAAGAUUGGAGUUUAUGCUAUGAAUCGAAUUAAGUCGCAAAUACAUAUACAGUUCAUUCUGUCUUUUAGCAAGGUCCCACUCUCACUUUCUCUCUUGAUAAAGAAAACCAUUAGCUCCUGUCAGAACCGCAAGGAGGGAGAUCAUUUUUAUUGAAAUAAGAAGGAAAUGAUAAUGUCAGGCACUGAGUCCGAGAGAUAAAAUAUUACAUCUAAUAAACAUGCUACAUAUGGGAUUCGACAAGGGGUCCUUGAAUUACGGAACAACAGAAGCUUCAGAAAAACAAUAACAUUAAUAUUGAAAAAUAAUGACUACCACUUCCAUCAUGGAAAAAAAACCCCGCAUUUUAAUAAACAGGAGGGAAAUUCAGGAAACUCCAAGAAAACAGCUAAUGACAUCCCUUGCCUUAGAAGGAUUAUCAAGGUGAACCAGCAGAAUGGUGGGCACCAGGCCUGGGAGAGUCCAGAAUUCAGAAAAACAAGGAGACUUGACUGAAAAGCAAAAGAUAUUUUAAAAAACUGUAGAAAAGUAAAUUCGAGGAUAGAGACAGGGCCAUGAUUUGUGAGGGGUGGGGGUGUGUCAUGAAAUGGCUGUGGGGGGACAGUGGCAUACGACUCUAUUUGCCAUCAGUGGUCAAAUCAGCACCUCUCUACUGCAGACUGUCUUGUCCCUUACUCCCCACCUCAGGGACACAUCUUGGGAUGUGCCUUUAGUGGGCAAUGGUCACACAUCCCCUUACAACAUCAAAGAGCCACCUGGCCUCAAAUGUCAAGAAUUCCAUGCUUGAGAAUCCAGGGUUUAAACCUGUUUUUCUCAUUUUCCUGUCAAAAGAGUCCACUUGCUUGUAACCGACUCCACACUCCUUCUCUUGGGGUCCACACUGGGCUCUCGAGUCAUGAUUUGUGUUUUGACAGGCUCUGGCUCAUCAGCAUCUUCUAAAUAGAAUUUGAGCGUUAUUAUUGAGGACAUCAAAACUACAUCCAUCAAUGAGCAGUCACAAUAGAGGUUGCUUGUCAAGGAGCCACUAUCUCUGAUUUAGCAGACACACCCGGGAGGAAGUCACCGAAUCUCAGAUAUGGAGAGAGGAACUGGGAGAAAGGUGUACAAGCUGCUAAUUCAGGAUGCCGCUCAAUUCUGUCUUAGCCCACAGAGGCUUGGUCCUUUUGGGCAAGUACGGGGCUUUUACAACCUCAGUACUAAUAACACACGAGGCUUGGUAACUUCUUCCUGGGGGUGGUGAUAGGGCUGUCCAAGUGCUUCAGGAUGUCAGCAUCAUCGCUGACCACUACUCCCUAGAUGCCAGGGCUCCUCCCUCCCACCACCCUCAUCAUGACAACCCAAAAGUUCUCUGGCCAUUGCCAACCUUCUCCUGGAGAGUGAAAUUGCCCCUGUGGAGAACUGUUAGCUUGGACAGUGCAUACUUUGGAGUUUCAGCCCUGAAACACUCUGAGGACUGCAGAGAUGGAAAACAAAUGGGUCGGAAUAAGAAAAGACCAAUCCCUCACCAUCUUGCCUUCCCCCACCCUUAGAAAUGCACCUGCUUUAUCUGCACUAUGUGUGACUUUGAGUCUUCCUGCCAGUAAUUACUAGUGUCCAAGAGAGUAUACCAAGGGAAUCCAAUAGGUAUCACACUCAGGCCUCUGCCCCACUUGGCCUGAGUGACAAUCACCUGUCUCCCUUCUGGGCUUUGAUUCCUAUAGGAGACUCCCCAUCCCAUGUGAAUACGGUAAUCAUGGCAGAGAUGCACCAGUUCCUGAACAUGGGCCACCUGGCUCUCAACUCCUUCUUAGUUUUGGACAGGACUGUGCUGGGAGUGGACUUUGACUCUGAUGUUGAGGAAUAAGAAGUGAACUUGGACUGUACAGCCAAUGAGGCAAAGUGCAGGAAGUUUUAGCCGUUUUACUCCAGUCUCCUGAUGCCCAUGAUUCCUAUCCACAUAUUUGCCUCUUUCUCUCUAAUUAAAAAAAGAAAAAAAAAUAGAUAAAAUUCCAAUCACUGUUGAAAUUAAGUGGUGAAUGAUGAGUGAGAAUUUUCAUACUUUCCUCUCUAUUUGUGUGUAUGUUUCAUAGUUAUCAUAAUAAUUUUUUUUUGAAGUUCUCCUGCCCACCUUUCUGUAGAAAACAAAACUGCUCAUCUCCUGCUUGAGUCUAGUCUGAGUUCCUAAGUACAGCUUUCUGGGGACCUGGCAUUCACUGUGACUCCUAACUUCCAAGCUUCCCUUUCUUUGGUAGAGGAGCUGGUGGCUCUGGGUGGCUCUGGGCUUGGGAGGCACCAUGAGCCACCAGUCCUUGCUAUGCAAGACCAUCUUCUUCCUGCCUUUGUGGCCCUGUCCCUCUCCCUUCUCCCGCCCUGUGGCCUGGAACCAGGUGCAGCAGCUAGAGGCCCCUGCUGCCCAGUCCUGUCUUCCUCGGGCUCAGUGACCGAGUCAGCUGCAGCAGAGUGCAGACAGCAAGGUAAGACAAGGCGGGGUUUGGCACGAGGCUCCGGCUCCGGGACAGGUUCUUUCUCCUUUCCUUCCUCAUUAUUCAAACUCUGAGUAACAGAGUGACGCGGGGAGCGGGGUAGACAUCAGCUGCUGAAUAGUUUACAAAGAUGUUUCUGUCCUGAAGCUCAGUUUAGAGUCAGCUUUGGAGGAAAGGGAAGGGAACCAGCAGCCUGGUUUCCUUGGGUAAGACGCCCUCGACAUUUCCCAUUUUUUCCUAUCAGGAAGAAGGCAGCAGCAUAGGUUUUUGUGCAUCAGUUUAAAGUUUUGCUAUUAAUCACAUGAGCAUAACCUUCACUCCACCAGUGUGCCAAAAAUAGACUUUUGGAACACAAACCGCAUCCUUCUAACCUGACAGCUGCUUGGGUGAUCAGGAAGCCUGGUGGGCCUCAAGCUGCCUGGGGAAGACAGAUCCUGCCUCCCUUGCCUUCUCUCUCUCUUUCUACACCUCCUCCCUCAAUGAGGAUUGAGCCUGUCUAGAGGGACUUGACCUGUGCUCCUUGUGAGGGGAACUGUAGGCCUAGCGCAGGGCAUCCUAGCAGGUUCUCUGCAAGGAGCGAAGCAGGAGCCUCUCGUCACGGCCUUGAGGUUCCUGGGCUAGGGCAUAUUCUUGGUGAAUUCUCCUUUUCAUUUACUAUUCAAAAAUCAUCCAUCAGUUCAAGUGUGUAUCCAAGACGGUGCUAAGCACCAUGGGGUUGUAAAGGGUACCACUUCCAGCACUACUGAGGCGACUGUUGAUGAUGGCCACACACAAGUCUGACUCUCAGUGGGCCCCCGUGGGGUGGCAUGGGACCAGUAUGGGGCUGGAGGCAGGAAGGCAGAGGUAUGGGUAUGAGCCACUCUGUGAAGAGCGUGGCAUGGGGAAGAGGACCUGGGUUUGUUCUGUGAGGGAACUAGGAGCUGGUGUGCCGGUGAGUGGGGUGGAGGGGUGAGGGCAGAGCAAGGAGAAGCCCAAGAGGCAGCCACAAACAAGACUGGAAUGAGAGCCGUAACAGCCUGCACUACCCGAUGUGUGACUGAGCUUCAGACAGGGAGGUCGUGGAGAGACAGAGCAGCCCACGACCUCCCUCGGUGCCAGGAAGCCUCCAACAGACCAGACCUAGGGCCAUGUUGUCUUCUAAACAAAUGUAUUGAUCUUUAAUUGACAUGCAAUUAAACUGCCCAUUUUUCAGGUGCACACUUCAGUGAGUUUUCACAUCUUUCCUGAAACUGUCACUACAAUCAGAAUAACGGUCAUAUCUGUAAUUCCCCAAAGUUUUCCCACAAACUCUCCAUGUCUCUUCUUCCUCACCAGCUCCAGCACAAGCCACUGCUGAUGUAUUUCCUGUCACAGUUAGAUUAGUUUGCUCCUUUGUGUCUCUCUGCCUGCACUUGGCAUAUUUAAUUUGAGGUCCUUCCAUACUGGUGAGUGGACCAGCAAAAUCGAGUCCUUCCAACAGCUGAGGGUGGUAUUCUGCUGUGUGGACAGAUGGCAAUGUGUCUCUCCACUCACCUAGGGGAGGUGACAGCUGCUGGGGGUGUUUUCAUCUGUGACAGUCAAGCUGUUGUGAACAUGGGGUCUGAGUUUUAACUUACACCCAUGCUUUCCUUCCCCCUGAGUGAAGCCUUCAUCCUGGGGAGCACAUGAGAGGCAAGCGCUAUGCUGAGGAUGGUUGGCCCCUCCAAACUCACACUGAGAUUUCACUCCUAUUAUAAAGUAUGAGCAAAUGGGACCAAUAGGACCUUUGAAAGGUGAUUAGGACUCUGCCAUCGUGAACGGAUAAUCCAGUCACCCAUUUAGUGAGCUAGUAGGUUAGUUUGAGAUGGAGUCUAUUUUAUGUCACUUUGAGGGCUGGAGUGUAGUUCAGGGCCAAAUACUUGCCUAGCACAUGUGAAUGAGACUUGGGUUGAAUCCCCAGAAUAUUAAAUUAAAAACAACAAAGGCCACGUGGCUAGGUCUCUUGAGUGCUCAGGGUCUCUCACCGUGGGCUGCCUGUGCUGCCUUAGGACUCCUCCAGCCAGAAGGUCACCACCAGGUGCCACCCCUUGGCCUCAGACCAGAACCUUGGGCUGAAAUUAACCUCUUUCCUUUAUAUUGUACCCAUUCAUUGGUAUUGUGUCUUAGCAAUAGAGUUGAUUAAGAUGGCAUGCAUUUGGGCUGGGGAUGUGGCUCAAGCGGUAGCGCGCUCGCCUGGCAUGCAUGCGGCCUGGGUUCGAUCCUCAGCACCACAUACAAACAAAGAUGUUGUGUCUGCCGAAAACUAAAAAAUAAAUAUUAAAAAAGUUCUCUCUCUCUCUCUCUCAUCUCUCUCUCUCAAAAAAAAAAAAAGAUGGCAUGCAUCUAACUGUGUAAGAAACUGUCAAACUUUUGCAUUUCCCAGUUCCAUCAGCUAUGUAUGGGUGGUUAUUUCUCGUUUUCUACAAUACUUGAUAUUAUCAGCCUUUUAAAUUGUAGCCAUGCUAGCAGUGGAAUGGAAUACCUUGGUUGCUUUUAAGAUUUUUUUCCUUUAUAACUGGUUCAUGGGGCUUUGAUGAGAACUAUAAAGCCACUGAUCCAAAAACCACAUUUAUUGUGCUUGGGUUUCACUGAGCUUUCUCCAUCAGUGGAUUUAUAGUUUUCAUCAAAUAUGAACCUUUCUCAGCUAUUUUUCUUCAACUAUUUUUUUUUCUUUUGUCUCCUUGUAAUAGAAGCUUCUGACAUGGUCUCCAUGAUAUCUGCCUCUUGUUGUUUAUACCCUAUUGUCUUUUCUCACCUUCUAUCAUGCUAAGUUAACGUGACAAAAUAUGGCAGGUGUGAUGACAUGUUGUCGCCAACUUCAAUUCAUAAAAUAAUGUUGUGGUUUUCACUUUGUUUUCUCUCUCCUCUCUCCUCAUGGCUCUGGGAGGAGCCAUGUUGUGAGGAUGCUCAAGUAGCUUGAGGAAAGGCCCCCAUGGAGAGGGGCUGAGGCUAGCUGACAACUACACAACUGAGCUUCAAGCAAAUUCUCCCCGGAUGGAGCUUUAAGAAAUGUACGGCCUGCACCACCAGCUUGAAUGCAACCUCACAGCUGCAUGAAUGAGUCCAAAUUAGUGAUGAAGCACAAGAUCUCUUACUCUCGGAACCUGAAGGAGAAAUGAUGAUUGCUUUAGGCUGCUAAGACUGGCAGUUUUGCUCCUGAAGUGACAGAGAACCAGUGUGACCGCUCUUCCUUUUUUCCACUUCAGUUAGUAUGUUAGGCUGACUAAAUUCCACACCUCACAGGUGCUGGGUUCUCUUUUUUACCUGUCUACUCAUUCUCUUUUAUUUUGACAACUAUCUUUUACUUUGAGUUCAAAUUUAGUACCAGGCCUUCUGCAACAACAAGUAUUUCACUUAUACCAUUCCCUGCAUUUUUCAGUUUAGACAUUAUAGUUUUCGUCUCUAGAAGUUUGAGUUGGCCCCUUUGUAAUAUCUUCUAUUUCUUUACUUAACUUGUGUCUGCUGAUUCUGUUGUGUUUGUAAUUUCCAUGUUAGUCCAUGGAUCGUGCUUCUUGUUCCAUUUUCCUGCAUAUUUGGAUGCCUGGUGGUUUUUACUGGGGGCCCGACCUUGUGAAGUUACACUCAUUGAAUGCUAGAUGUUUUUGUAUUUGAAGAACGAUUCUUGAAGUUUCUUCUAGGACCUGUUUGAGUUGCAAGAAAACACUCUUGAGUUUUUGGAGCCUUGCUCUCAGGCUCUGUGAGAGGGAGGGGAGCACUGUUUGGUCCAGAGCCAACUUCCCCCUACUAGAGGGGGGCAUUGCUCUCAGUAUUCUCCUGAGGCUCUGUGAAUGAUGGGCUCUCCAUUCUGCUGAGGCUCCGACUCGCGGAGAGCUCAGGACUCCCCUCUCUUCCUCUCAGGGCACAGUCCUGGGUGUUUCCUCAGGUGGGUGCAGUGAGCAGCCCGUUGGGAGGCCUUCUCUCUGUGGUCCUUUCCUCCCUGCUUCUUUUCCCUGCAGACUCGACCACUCCCUCCUCCCUCACCACCCAGCUCCAUGACCUCAGGGAACCCACAGGGUCUUACCUCAGUUCCUCCAAUUCCGAGAACUCUAGGCAAUACGCUGGGGAAAUUGUGAGGUUCGCUUUAUGCCUGUGCUUCAGGGAUUCCUGCUUUUGUGACUCAUGUCAAUGUGUUCCAAGAUAUUUUACAUCUAUAAUGCCUUUCUUCCCUCCAGUUGUUCCAGGUGAAGAAUGAACGUGGUCCCUGGUAACUCCAAGUUGGUGAGGGUGGAAGUCUUUCUGGGAUCCUGAAGAACACCUGGCUGGGGCUACCAGAGGGAGCGAAUGGUCAGGCUGGAAGCCAGAUGUCCUGGUACUGGGACAAGCACUCAUGGCAGGGGAGGAUUUACCUUGGGGCUGGGACAGCAGGAAGAAGNUCUCCCCGGAUGGAGCUUUAAGAAAUGUACGGCCUGCACCACCAGCUUGAAUGCAACCUCACAGCUGCAUGAAUGAGUCCAAAUUAGUGAUGAAGCACAAGAUUUCUUACUCUCGGAACCUGAAGGAGAAAUGAUGAUUGCUUUAGGCUGCUAAGACUGGCAGUUUUGCUCCUGAAGUGACAGAGAACCAGUGUGACCGCUCUUCCUUUUUUCCACUUCAGUUAGUAUGUUAGGCUGACUAAAUUCCACACCUCACAGGUGCUGGGUUCUCUUUUUUACCUGUCUACUCAUUCUCUUUUAUUUUGACAACUAUCUUUUACUUUGAGUUCAAAUUUAGUACCAGGCCUUCUGCAACAACAAGUAUUUCACUUAUACCAUUCCCUGCAUUUUUCAGUUUAGACAUUAUAGUUUUCGUCUCUAGAAGUUUGAGUUGGCCCCUUUGUAAUAUCUUCUAUUUCUUUACUUAACUUGUGUCUGCUGAUUCUGUUGUGUUUGUAAUUUCCAUGUUAGUCCAUGGAUCGUGCUUCUUGUUCCAUUUUCCUGCAUAUUUGGAUGCCUGGUGGUUUUUACUGGGGGCCCGACCUUGUGAAGUUACACUCAUUGAAUGCUAGAUGUUUUUGUAUUUGAAGAACGAUUCUUGAAGUUUCUUCUAGGACCUGUUUGAGUUGCAAGAAAACACUCUUGAGUUUUUGGAGCCUUGCUCUCAGGCUCUGUGAGAGGGAGGGGAGCACUGUUUGGUCCAGAGCCAACUUCCCCCUACUAGAGGGGGGCAUUGCUCUCAGUAUUCUCCUGAGGCUCUGUGAAUGAUGGGCUCUCCAUUCUGCUGAGGCUCCGACUCGCGGAGAGCUCAGGACUCCCCUCUCUUCCUCUCAGGGCACAGUCCUGGGUGUUUCCUCAUGUGGGUGCAGUGAGCAGCCCGUUGGGAGGCCUUCUCUCUGUGGUCCUUUCCUCCCUGCUUCUUUUCCCUGCAGACUCGACCACUCCCUCCUCCCUCACCACCCAGCUCCAUGACCUCAGGGAACCCACAGGGUCUUACCUCAGUUCCUCCAAUUCCGAGAACUCUAGGCAAUACGCUGGGGAAAUUGUGAGGUUCGCUUUAUGCCUGUGCUUCAGGGAUUCCUGCUUUUGUGACUCAUGUCAAUGUGUUCCAAGAUAUUUUAUAUCUGUAAUGCCUUUCUUCCCUCCAGUUGUUCCAGGUGAAGAAUGAAUGUGGUCCCUGGUAACUCCAAGUUGGUGAGGGUGGAAGUCUUUCUGGGAUCCUGAAGAACACCUGGCUGGGGCUACCAGAGGGAGCGAAUGGUCAGGCUGGAAGCCAGAUGUCCUGGUACUGGGACAAGCACUCAUGGCAGGGGAGGAUUUACCUUGGGGCUGGGACAGCAGGAAGAAGGAUCUGGAGGCACUGAGGGGUGAAGAGCAAGCAAGAAGCAGCACGGUUGACCCCGUUUCCUACCUUGGGGAACCUGGGAAAUCACCCCCAGCUUUGUAGGAUUCCCAAGGAACUCUCGUGUGGCAUGAGCCACAGAUUUCCUAAUCCCUCUCAACAAGAAUCACGGUACUUCACCAUCACACCAUGGAGCAUGAAGGGAAGUGUCAGAAAAGAAUGUGUGACACGGUGCGCGAAAGACACGAAGGCCCGAGAGGAACACGAGAGUCGGUAAAGAUUAUCUAAAGUGGGAAAAAAUGCAGCCUCAACAAUGGAGCCAUCAGUGCCGUGGAACCUGUCUAGUUAGCCACUUCAUCCCGACCACUGUUUCUUUCAUGAUAUGAUCCAUGUUUUUCUGCUAUUAUUCUUUCCAAAGACUUAAACUUAUUAAAUUUUAAAAACCCCACACACCUUAUUAACUGAAACAUCAGAGGAGAACAAUUGACAACUCACACUAGAGGAAGAAAACAUCUCGACUACAAAUACGUCUCCUCUGGGUUCUUUAGGUGCUGGAUAUUUAAGCAUUGGGCAACCACACUAUGUUCUAAACCAAGACACAAUUAAUAAUCACCAUUUACAGAGUCCGUGCAGAGUAUAGGAAGCUCUGCUUUUAUCCACUGUUUAAUUUCAUCUUUUUAACCACCCCAAGAAGUGGAUGGAAAGGCUGGGUGAGUCAUUCUUAACGUUAAGAGGAGGAACCGGGGCUGCAAGCCUAGUGUCACACAGUGGGUGACUUUCAGAAUCUGACUCCAAAUUUAGCCAUUUUACCAUUCUGUAAGGCUUCGGGCUUUUCUUGCAACUGAAGAGAGAAAAACUUUAGUUUUGCAAGUAGAAUCCAGCUCUUGACGCAAUGCCACACUGUUGAAACAGGUGGGCAGAGUCACCACCAACGGGAAGGUGAGGGAAGGCAAGGUGCUGCUCCAUUUUGGUCCUCUGAAUGACAUCUUGAUGGCACUAUCAAUGCAACUUCAAAACCAAAGACAGAAGAGUGACACCCUGCCAUCUCACCAGCUACUUGGAGUCAUGCAAGGCAAGUGAGAAAUCUCAGCAGUUCUUAGUAUGAAAUGAUUUUUCCAUAGAAAAUCGUCAGUCAAUCUAGUUUGAGUCGAUAAAAAUAACUUAAAUAGUUUUACCUGAAAUAGUGGGGUAAUGUGUUUUCUUUCCUUCAAGCCCUGUGUCCAUUUUGCUGUUUAGCAAGAUGACCUAGAAGUCUCCAAAGUGAGAACCAGUAUGGAGGAACUGAUCAUAGCCUCGGAGCCCAUCUGAAGCUCGAUUUCCUCUGAUGCAGCCUUUCCAUUUGUAUAAGCCACAGAGAACUCUUUCUGCUCUUGACCACCUGAAGCCGAAUCUGCAGAUGAUGGACACAAGCUUCAUCUUGGUUUUUCUCCAGGACAUUUCCAUGGAGUUGGAAAUCUGACCUUUGAUUUUUUUCUCUGUCAGAGAUGUUGUGUAGUAAGAUGACCAGAGUGUGGAUCUGGAGUCUGACAAAGUUGGUGCUGAAUUUUGAAAUUGAGAGUUACCACGUGGAUGACGUUAGGAGUCUCGGUCAUUUUAUCAUUAAGAUGAGUUCAAUAACCGUAGAGUGCCCUAGUCCAUUUGGGCUGUUAUAAUCAAAUACCUGGGAUUGAAUGGCUUAUAAACAGCAGGAAUUUACUUCUCACAGUUCUGGAAGGAUCUGGAAGACCCAGGUCAAGGACAUGGCAGACUUGGUGUCUGGUGAAGGCCUAUUUCCUGGUUGAUAGACGGCAUUUUCUUGCUGUGUGGAAGGGCAGGGCAGCUCUCUGGAGCCUCUUUUAGAAGGACACUGAUCCCAUCCAAGAGAGCCCCCCACCUCAUGUCUUCAUCAUUUCCAAAGGCCCACAUCCUAACACUAUCACUCUGUUGAUUAAGUUUCAACAUCAAUUUAAGGACACACAUUCAGGCCAUAGCCAUUGGAUAUAGUGUGCACAACCAGAAACUCCCAGGAUUUCAUGGUAUGUUCUUGCCCUGGGCUGCAUUCAAACAUACACAUGCCAGCAACUAAAACAUAGCUGAAAGCACUUCCCAUUUUAUUUAUCUUCUUAAAAAUAUCAAAGAAAUCUGAAGACUACAUACUUAAUACAUAUCAAAUAUCCACAAUUCUAAUUUUCCCAUCAUGAUUGCACUUAAAAUUCCCCAAUAGCUUAUUCUCAACAUUUUUUCUCCUCUGCUUGCAAUUCCAAACCCAGCCCACAUAGCUUGCUUCUCUCUCUCUCCCUCUGCCGACUCUCUCUGCUCUGUAUUAUAUGGAUCAUUUGUCUUUCUAGAAUUUUCUAUAUUUUUCUUUUUCUUGUCUGAUUUACAAGUUCUUUACCUCAGAGGAGAACACUUGAUGUGAUUUAGCAUGCAGGGAUCUUUCUCCUCUAGAAGUCAGGGCAGUGGGUAAGACUGAGUAUCUGCUCAUCAACAGUCUGGUUAAAGAUACACUAAUUUUUGCUCAUGUUCCAAGAGACAAGUGCUUACACUGAACUCACACAGAGUUGGUGCUCAGUACUGUGUGCUCCAUUCUUUGAACCUGAUCUUGUGAAGAUGGACAAUUAUGGAUUUUAGCUUGAGGAUCUCCAUCUCCCUGAGUUGACAGCAAGCCUUUGGAAGCUUAUAACUAUAUCUGGUGGUUUAUUAAAUUCUCCAAACCUAGAGCCACUCUUUAAUGAGCAUAGGCUGUUCAUUGAAAACAAAAUACUCAUAUGUUCCAAACAACACCAUGACCCUCCUAUACGGCAAAUACUGGCCUAAGUCUCAGAAUUUAAUUUGAAAAAGAUGCAUUCACUAGCUACAAGAGUGUAACAGGCUACUAGAAGGGAUCCACAGAAAAGAAAGGUACACACACAUACACACACCUACAAAUAAUGGAAACACAGUUUGCACUGGUCCCCAGAUCACUUCUACCCAACUGGUGUAGCCAUCUCUGAGCUGUCAUUAGGUGCUGGCUGCUGAUGGCUCAUAGCUUCAUACUUCUACAGGACACAAAUGGAGCUGCCUAGCCCCAUGACACCCAGGAAGUUGCAUUCCCCCCACCUGUGAGCCAAGGACUUUGUGAUAGGGAGCAUAAAAGCCUGGGCUCUGAUUUCCAGGCAGGACAGCCCCUGCUUCAGGGCUCCCACAGGGCCGGGUAAGGACUGGACUUCGGCUGGAAUCUCAUGUCCUCCUACACCAUCUUGCUGGUCACUUUCCUCACAGGUUUCACUUGAGAGCUCUCCCACCAUGAGCCACUUGCAAAAGAACCCCUCCUCAGGCUCUGCAGCUAGGAACGCUGAUGACUCCUCCAGGCAUCGGGGCUUUGCUGAGUGGGUUGCUGCAUUUCCCUUUAAGGGAUGCCUGGGCGUGGGGUUGGAGGAAGAAGGAUGUAGAGGUAGAGACCUAUGAAGUCCGCAGUGCACAAUAGCUGCCCAAGAAACCACAAUGUGUGACCUUCCUUUCCUAGUAUGGGCAAAGCCACCCCAGUGAGAGAAGGUCAUUCCAGAGAAUGCGGGACAGUUCCACUCCUGGAGCCCACGGAAGCUGGUGGAGAGUCAGGUCCCUGAAGGACCCAGGCAUCUGCUUCCUGUGCACAUUGGAGAACCAGCAGUCCAUGUUGGGGCUGUGCCGAGAAGAGCCCUCUGGCAGCAGAGAGGGAGGGCGGUGCCGUGCAGCAGGUCAGGCUCGGUGACAGCCAGGAACGGAGGAACUUGAGAGACAGAGCCAAUGACUUGCAAGGCUGAGGAUUGACAGUGGAAAACACAUUGAAGCAGUUUUUAGAAGAGGAUUCUUCAUCAUGAAGUGACCAAUUUAGAGGGACCAAAGAGCUAUGAUCAUGAAGAGCAGCCAUAUUCUAGCACGUUGAAAGAAUAAAAUAUUAAACCUGAAAGAGGGUGAUUCCAUUAACUAUAUAGGCAAAAAGACAAUUUUAAUGAACAGUGCCACCCCAGUGAAGCAGACAUUAUCCUCCUAUUUGAAACCUCCCUGUAAUUUGAGACAUCACCAUUGUAUUUAAAAGAAUGCCAACUCCAAGAGCUGGUGGAGGGUCAAUGCUCAUUAGCAACCCUGCAAUAAUAGCCAACAAGUGUGAACAGUGAGCCUGGGAUUGAGGAAAGCAAUUUCAGGUAGAAAAUAGACUCUCAUUUCUCUCUCUCUCGCAGGUUAUUAUAGCAACAAGAAAAUGAAAACACUUUUAUUCUUCAAAUUUAUGAAAACACCUUCGCUGCUUCUUGUCACUCUGGGCAGGAAAACAUCUUAAGUCAAUGCGGCCUUCUUUUCUCUGCAUUUAAAUAAAGACAAAUAUCUAUGGAGUAACAGAAAGGGAGAUUCUGAUGAUUCCUUUAUAAAAUGCAAAUGAAAAGCAGUUGUUAGAGAAGAUUUAAUAUUUAAUACAGAAAUCAGAUUACAUUCAUCUUCAUGCUGGUGGUGGGGUGUGUGUGUGCGUGUGUGUGUGUGUGUGUGUGUUUCUCUGAGGUUGCUGGAGGUGUGUGGUCAUUUAGAGUCAACAUAUGCUUUUCUACAUGGAGCAGUUAAUGAUACCUUCAUACUUCGUUGAUUCUUUGUAAGAACCCUGUUGGAUAAGCAUGAGAAAUCCAUUUUAAAGAAGAGAAAACUAAGCCUUGGAAGUAUUGGGUGAUUGAUCCAAGUUUGCUGAGCUUGAAGAGUAAAGUGGAGCUGGGGCAGUCUAGGAGGUGGACUUAGGUGUCCUUGGAAGUGCAGUGUGGUAAGGGGCAGAGCUAGCAAAAUGAGAUCUGUUGUCCCAAAGUCUCAUUGCUCCCUACCACCUAAUGAGCUUGUGCCCGCUCACUGGGGCAGAGGCAGGCUUUUUAGGAUGGCACCAACUUGUCUGCACAUUGGGAUCACCAGGGGAGCUUCUGGACAUGCUGGUACCUGCACAGCCCAGAGAUGAUGAAUUAGCUGCUCUGGGCUGUCACUGUGGCUUUGGAAGUUCCCAAACAUUCCUAGGUAAGUGUGGUACAGUAGUAAAGAACACCUUCUAUGAAGCCACAUGGACCUGGGUUCAAAUCCCAGAUUAAUACUUACUAGCCUAGCCACGUGGCUUGGGCAGCUCACUUCCUGUCCCAGGCUCCCUGAGGUACCUGCUCUGUAGGUGCUGUGAAGAUUGAUAGAAUGAAUAGAUAGGAAGUGCCUAGACAUGUUUCCCAUUAUUGUUUUAUUAAAAUAGUUAUAAAUAAGAAAACAAAAAGAUGGGCCCCUGGUUUCCAUCCUGGGGAUCUAGGAGGAAGAAUAUUUCAAUAAAAAAAAAAAGACCACCUGGAUAAGGCCACUGUCAGAACUCAAGAUAAGGGAAAAUUCAAUCGACUCUUAGAGCUUCAGUGUUGGACACAUAACUUACACAGUGGGGUCCCUCUGCACCCUACCAGGGCAUAUUCACACUGUAAUAGCACAGAGGUCCAGAGAGGCUAAAGGGCUGUUGCAAAGUCACAUAGCUAUUAGAGGACUGUUGAGUUAGGACCUGGGACUCCUCCAUCGUUCCCUGGAGCAACCUCUGCUCUGUAGUGGCUGUUCUCGGAGACCCCUAGGGGUUGGGUGAGGCUCACGAAGCUGGAGGAGCAUGCAGGCUCCUGUGUACCCCUUUGACUUGCAGUGACCCUGACUCACGCCCUCUUGAGGGACAGGCCUCAAUUGACCAGCUGGGCUGGUGUUUGUCACAUGUUCUCUGUGUACUUCUUCAACAUGCCCUGGCUAGUAGAAAAAUUCUCUUUAAAGAGUCUCUGAAUUGGAAUCAUACCAAGAGGAUUUGAUUUGCCUUUCAGCAUUUUAAAGGGAGACUUUUGCUUGUGUACCUAAGCAGUCAGCUCCGACCUUUUGUCUGUGAGCGGUCUCCUGCGCCGCGUAGGGUGCGCUGUAGUCACCGCACAGCAUCUGAGCUGUUCUCUCUGCCUGUGUGUUUUGAAAGGCCAUUUAACCAUUUAACACUUCUUUUCAAACAAAAUCCUUGAGAAAAUGUCAGCCUUUGCAUGGGCAUAAGGUAGAGGGAAAGGUGCUCUUUGGAGUUAAGCAGACAGCGUUGUAUGCAGACACAGGGUGCAAAACACUCAAUUUUUCUAUCUUUAAAAUGGGGACCCUGCCAACCUUGUAGUGAAGCUGUUGGGUCACAUGAGAUAACAUGCAUCUCGAAAAGUGUGUACUAAGAUUCUUGCCUGGUGGGUGGUUAGGAAGAGGAAUGGCCUCUGCUCUGGCAGUUCACAUGGAGGAACGAGGUUGAUGCCUCAGCGUGCGUGAGGACAGAUCUCCCUGGCUCAGUUUCCUGGGCAGCACUGCGUGGGCUGUGCAAGCCACUCCAGCACCACUGUGGCCCACAAGGAGCUUCCAGCCAAAUCAGAGGCAGGAAAUGAAUGUGCGGACUGGGAAGGUAGGCAAGCUGGGUCGCCCAGGCGAGGAGGGCUACUAGGGCAGCUGUCAGUGUGGCACUAGAGGCCAUAGGCAGAAAUUUCUGACUCACGGGCAAAUUUUCUUUAGCUCUUUCUUGUCUAUCUAUCUAUCUAUGAAAUCAAAUUUGAAUUAGUUGCCAAGAUACUCAGCUCAGGUUUCACUUACAGGAUUUUAUCGCCUGAAUUUCUUUAAAAGGAGGAAGAUACAGAAAUCAGAGAAAACCACCCGCUGUUGCUGUGUCCUACCCACAGAGCAUGCUCUUUCAGUUUGCCCCAGUCCCCACCACCCCAGGCUGUCUCCCCGACUCUGAUGGUCCUUGCAACCUUACCUGCACUGACCACCCACGGCAGAGUUUAGAGGAAAGUGAAAUGUGCCAGGAACCAGGGGAGAUUCAAGGAAAAUACAAGAGAGCACAUGGAGGUGUACAAGGAAAGACCGCCUUACACGAACAAUACGGGAAGCCACAGAGGUUCAUGUCAAGUAAAGAUGAAAUCUAUGUUUUCAUUAUGAAAUGAUAGAAGCUCCUUGGGGACCACGUGGUGCUGGAGUGAUUCGCCCAGGAAACCGAGCCAGGGAGAGCUGUCCUCACGCACACUGAGGAUCCACCUCGUUCCUCCAUGUGAACUGGCAGAGCAGAGGCCGUUCCUCUUCCUCACCACCCACCAGGCAAGAAUCUCAGAGCUCACUUUUCGAGAUGCGUGUAAACUGAUGUGACCUGACAGCUUCACUACAAGGUGGGCAUGGUCCCCAUUUUAAAGAGAGGAAAGUUGCGUGUGUUUUGCACCCUGUGUCCACAAGAAGUACCACGGGUUUAUGGGAAAACUCACAAAAAGAAAAUAAAUAACUGGAAAAUGGUGGCACGGUCCCUCCUGGCCUCAUUUGUUGGUCGCCAUCGGUGCCCUGGCCACUGUGCCUCUCGCCUGCUCCUUGGUAUAAGAAGGUCAGCAUGGAAUCGAAGCCUUACUUUGCCACAAUCAUGCUGCGUGAUAUGAAUCUUUUUGAGACUUGCUGUUCCUUUGCAAAUGGGAAUGAUGGCACUGACCUCCUGGUCUUGGGGGGGACUCAAUGAAACAGGUCUUGGAGAAGCAUGGGAUUGACGUCAAAACAGGCUCCAUGAAUGUGAAUGUGAACGGGCAGCGAAGGGAUUCUGAGGCCUUGGGAGAGGCCACUGAGAAAGUCGGGCAUCGGGGGACUUUCCAAAGGAAGCACCCCCUGGACGGACCAGGUUAGAAUGGCAGAGCCCUUGGUGGGCUGGGCUGGGGCUGGGGGCAUGCAGGAUGCUGAGCUUCCUCACUCUUCUGGGCUGAGGGUCCACGGUGAUGAGGUGACUCGUCCCAUGUAGCUGCUCUGAGUCAGGUCUCCAGAGGCCUGGCCAGGGGGCCCCUCAGCUUCUUAUCUUUUCUGUCAGGGUCAGGCUCACUGUCACUUACGGAUCUCUUUGUGCCAGUUGUUGGCUGGUCCUGGCAGCAGAGAGACGUGGAGACCUAAUUCUGAUUCCAUUCUGCAGACGUCUGACCACAGUUCUGACACUUUAAACUGUGCUGCCCUGGGGACCUCCCUGUAGCUCCUCCUCCUCAGUUUUCCCAUCUGAAACACAGAAACACAACAGUGGCCACCUUAACUGGGGUCUGUCCUGCAUGACACCUGGGCUCCUACUGCAGGUAGCGUGACUGGAUGGGUCCUGUGACUCAGGGCUUACUGGAGAAGAUGAGGUGGGGCUGGGCAGGACCUGAAGGGCUACAGAGAAGGAUCAUAGGGAGAGUGCAGGGGUGGGGGCAUGCCCAGGGGCCCAGAGAGGCAGGCAGACCAGAGAUCGGGAGCAGGGAGCAGGCAGCGGACAGGUAGAUCUGGAAUCCCAGGGCAAGGCUGGGGGAAGAAGGGCCUGGGAUGACCUUUGAAGAGUUUCUAGUGUCUCCUAAGGGUGAUCAGGCGCCUCUGUGUGGCUUACACAGAGCGCAAUGAGCUGUUGAGGUCUGAGGUGUCACUUUUAAGCAUCGGCUCUGUAGGAAGGUCGGGACUCAGGAAGAGUGGACCAGCGACCCCCUGUGAGAGGACCCAGCAGAUGGCAUGAAGUGGGGUUUUCCCUUGAGAGGCCUCAGACUCGCCCUUGGGUUGUUAGGUGUGUUUCGUAUCUUUCAUGCCUUUGACAUGCACGUGUUGCAAGACACCGCCCUUCAGCGUGGCUCGAGGUUUUACGAGGAGAUGACAGCUGUAGCUUCAACUAAGAUUGGUCAAGGAGUUUCUGCCUGCCUGUGGAAAGACCACUCCAGCAAUGCCCGGAGGUGUGGGCUCAGGGGCUUGGAUCAGACAUUCCCUGGAGAUGAGAGCUGGGAGCAGGUGCAAGGCAGGUCUGGGGAGUGCAAGGCAGGUCUGGGGAGCACCAUCCAGACUGAGGGACCCCCAAGGCCAGGGUACUGUGGGCACUUGGUAGGUGUCCAUAGACGAAAUGGAUGAAGGCGGGGGUGGGGGGCAUGAAAACAACUGUACGCCAGGUUGUUCUUAAACUCUACUAAAAGCUAAGUUUGACAUGUCCAAUGUCAAUGCCUUCCUGAUGUUAAGAAAGCACAGACAGGGACAGUCUUCUUGGAUGACCUCUCCCCUGAGGCCGCUUCCUUCUGGCUCUGCUGUCCAGCCGUUUAGACCUGUGUCUUCACGUUCACACAUGCGUGGCAGAGACUUUUGCGCUGGCUGCAUUUGCAGGCAUAGCUCCAGGAACUUUCAGGAGAUGAAAGGAAGAUUUUUUAUUUCUUCACUGAAGUGAUGGAAAACUGAAGCUCCGAGAAGCACAACGCGGAGUCCAGAGUCAGCCCGCCCCAUGCGGCUCUUUAUGCUUAUGAGUUAAAAUAAAAUAAAAUUAGAAACCUGGUUCUCCUGUUGCACUGGCCACGUGGCAAGAGCUUGGUCGCCACAGGUGGCUGCCAGAUUGGACGGUGCAGAUGCCGCCACUUCCAUCCUGGCCAAGAGUUUAAUUGACCAGAGCCGCGGGGCUACACUGGUACCUGAGGGUGGGCGUGAUAAUAUCAUGCAGGAAAGAGAUUUGCAUAGCCUUCCUCCUUUUUACACACUGAUAUUGUACUAAGGGUCCCUUCUUCUGUUCCCUGCAUGCUUAAUUUCAGUCUUCCUGGGAGCUUUUGUUUGUUUGUUUCUUUUCACAUUCUCUGUGGCAGAAGCAUUUCACAUCCAACCUUAUUCAAGGUCAAACCAAUGCAGACCACCAGGGGCUUGGGGGCAUGUCCCUGUGGAGGGCCUUUGAUGCCCUUGUUGUUCUAACCUCUGCCUGGCUUAGGACUGCAGGAAAGGGCUUACCUCGAGGAAUUGCAGGGGGAGGCUGUCAAUUCCACUUACAGCUCUCGCAUCUUUUUAUGAGGCCAGCUUGGAGAAAAUUAUUCUAGACUUGAACUCUUUGGAGUGACUUGUUAUAUACUUUUCCUCCCUAGAUCCUAUAACAGACUGUUUCCUGCUUCAUUUUCCCUGCUGGGAAGCUCAGAUCUAAAUUUUUGACUCAACUUGAACAUCAGUGAAGAGCUGUCUAACGCACAUUGCUGUGAUCUUGUUUUCCUCUAUUUUAUUAAUCUCUGUCUCCGCUCACAUUGUGGGUUUUUUUUUUAUCCUGUGCUCAUCGUACAAUUUCUCUUGGCCUUUCUUUCCACCUCGAGAUGGAACAGAAAUGCAAUGUGCAGUGGGCGGUGGGCGAUGGCUCAGCUGAACACCUGAGCUUUGGAAGGUCACACCAAAUGGAAGGCACUAUUUGAGAAUCAGGUGGCCUCUGCCCCCAAGUCAGCCUUGACAUGGGAGUGGGCCUCCGCAGGGAAGGGAGGGCCGGAGACCUGUCUGAGCGUGUUCAGGCUCUGGGCUGACUUAGGAUGGCCCCACCUGUCCCCUUCUGAUUAUAAUCGGUGACAUCUCAGCUGAGUCACGUAAACCUCUGGCCUCUCUCCUUGCAGGGAGUGGCUUUCCCAGAACCAUGUCCCACCAGCCUUACCUCCUGGGUCAGUUCUCUGCCUUCCCACGGCAGGACGGAUCUGCUCCUGAUACAAAUUAUCCAUUUUCCUCAGAGCAGCUCUUAGGAGACCUUGGUCAGUAGCAAGGAGUGGCUGAGGGUGUGACCUGCCUGCGGCAGAGCCAGGCAGCCCCAGGAAAGCAGCAAGUCCCUGCCAAGUAGAGAUAGUGCCUCCACUUGGCAAUAGAAGCACCCUAAAUGUGCUUCUUUCUUGCCUCCUAUUAGGAUUUGAUUUAAUUCUUACCUGAUGACUCACCUAUUACAAUGAGACAUAAAAAGGGAAUUUGCAGCUGCCUGCUUAUCAGAAAAGAUCAAGUGUUUCUGUAAUUAAUAUGGAAGAUAACAAUUUAAAAUAAUGAAACACCCAUAAUAUGCUUAGGGGAAGCAGCUUGUUGCUAUAAUUAGAACGAGAAUCAAAUUGUUCUGAUGGCAAACACAUCAUUUAUUGAACUGAAGCUACUCUAUGAAUGGAAGUAAAUAGCACAGUAGGAAAAAAAGAGUAAAAGACAUUUCAUAAAAGUCUGGAUCUGAGGAAGAUCUCAGAAGCAUGCAGGGAGGGGGCGUAACCCAACUGGACGCUCCUGCGCUGCCAUGUGGUACCAUCCACGCACGGGCACAGCAUUUGUUAGGUGUCCUUGGAGGCGCUUGAGAUUUUUCAUAAGUACAUCUCUGCUAAUGUCACAGCUCUGCUUAAACCUCCUCUACAAUAUUAAGUACAAUAAGGUUUGUACCUCUAAGAAUAUGAACACACGCAUCCUCUGAUAGCCAUGUAGAAAGUUCCAGAAUGUUACAUAGGAAGCAGUGGUUCUUCUUUAAGUCAAAUUUAUCUGGGAGAUGGAAACUGAAGAUGCACUUAAAAAAGUCACAAGUAUACAUUAUUUUAUAGUCAAAAAGUUGUCCUUUUAUUUCCCGCGACUCUCACGUUCUUGAGAUAUUUGAGUGCCAGUUCCCUGGGUGGUGUUGACUGUCCAGUGUGUCUGACUGUCUCUGGCCAGGGUCCUCCUGCACAGGUUCCAGCCCUUGGGCUGCAGUCUUCUGGGCAGCUCGGAUCCCUGGCCUCCCUGGGUCUUCAGGCCUUUGUCCCUGCUAACCUUGUGGCUUCCAACCUUCUCCCCACCUUUCUUGCUUGGAAGGCUCCUAGUCCAGGGAAGGCCUGAUGGAAAGGUCCCCUCCUCUUCGCAGCCCUUCUCAGACCCACCCUUUGCCCUGGGUCUGAGAUUCAUUCUCUCCCUUCUCCUCUGAGGCCUGGUGGCCUGUCACACAAACGCACCUCAGGACCCUGUUCUCGGCAUGUACGUGCUUCCUCGUCCCAGCUUUUAUGUGUCUGUGUGAGCGCGCCUGGCACGUAGAAGGUAAAGAUGUUUGCUAAAACGGUGUUAGAUUGAUGUGGGUGAACAAGGACACAUUUUGGGUUCAUUAGACAUGUUAAGAUAUUUUUAAAGUUUUGUGGUUUGAGUAAAAUUUGAAAUGCAUUUUGCCAAGUGUGUUUUUCUCUAUUUUGUAAAACCCAUAUGUCAAUUAAGGAGGAGAAGCCAUAUGGUUCUGAUUUCUUUACUCAUAGAUCAGCAUUUCAUUUCUGGGGAUAUCUGAUGUUCAAGAUGCUGCCUGUAUUGUGUGUAUUAACCCCCCUCCACCUUUUGGAAUAUGCUUUUCUUUGAACUGAGGAGACUGACUUUCCCCCAAAUAGAAACUCCCCUCUUGGGGCAGUACCUCUCCACACCCCUAGUUUCCAUCCUCAAACUUGAGGCUUGAGAGAUGGGUCUCAGAUGAAAACUCUUUCCGAAUUUUUCUUGCAAAGAAAAAGGUAGUCAUGAUUCAACAGGCUGAGGGAGAGAGCAGGUGACAAUUCAAGUCGGGACACGAUGGCUUAUUUUCAGAGCCACUAAAGGUAACCCAUCGCCUUGGGGAGAUGGCAAUCCAAUGGAACAGGACUCAUAGAUUAAUGGAAGUAGCCAGGAGAGGCAUGACGUCAUCCCCACCAGUGCUGAAAUUAGAAAUCCUGCCUCUGGUUACAAUGGCUCUUACAAUUCCAUGUGUGCCUUAGUAACUGAACAUCGUCCAUCUCUUGCCUGAGUAUGGUCCCCUCAUGAAAAGGUGGGCUGAACAAUGUCUCCGUCUUCAAGUUUGAAUGAAGAUUUAAUGGAGAUUUGUUUGCAUGAGGUUGGCAAAACUUAGCCAUUUAUCUAAAGGUCUUUGUGAUCUUAUCACUUCCUUAAUCUUUUUUUUGUAAAUCCAAACUGAUUUUUUUAAAAUUUGAUAACGUACCUGAACAAUGAUAUUAGCAAAGGAAACACCACUGUGGUCAAUGGAGAACUGACGCUCCUUGCUGCAGAGGGGCUCCUUACUGUGGAAAAAACCAAGAUGCUCCUUUAUUUUUUUCUGAUGGAAUGUGUCUGCCACCUCUGGUCAUCUUGGUCCUCUUCAGAAGUGCCCGAUCUUGCCUUUGGAAAGCCUCCAGGUGGAAUGCCCUGGAAGCAUCCUGUAACCUGUGUGACUGCUGCUGCUGUCACUGAUGGGGUUAACACCGGGGCUGUCAGGAAUUGUGGCUCUGACCCUGGGCACGUCAUCCUAACUAAUGAGCGACUGUAGAGAAGUGGCCGAACUUUCCUGAGCAGCCCUGCCCACACCUAAGAGCAGGAGGAGAGCAACUCUGCAGGGCGGAGCAAUGUUUUCUGAUCAUUUGCAUCUUUUCUUCCUACUCCUGCAGGACGCCACACUCCUGAGUGGAAAAUGGAGUCUGUCCUGUCAAGGUGACCCCCGUGGUCCAGCCCUCUGAGACUGCCACCGUGGACUUUCUCUAACGGUAACUCAUCAGUUGGCCGUGAUGCAUCUGAGACCCACAGGACUACGUCAGAAUUCCUGUUUUAAAAAUGAGGGCAUCUAGGCUUCAGGAGGUGACAUGCUGUUCCCAGGGCCUUGAGGCUCACGAAGCCUGAGCCAGUUCUAGAAGGAGCCAGAGCCUUCCAGCAGCUGCUUGCUUCUGAGCCACAGAAGAGACAACCCCUGGGACGCAGCAGCAGGAAGCCUGAGAGGUGAGGCUGUGCACGCAGGGUUGGGAGAGGAAAAUACUCCCAAGAUUUCCUGCUUCUGUCUUCCUGUGUGUUUGAACAGGGCACUGAAGGGACAGAGCCGGAAUGCUCUGUUAGUGGCCGGACAGGUCACUCUUUGAACUGGGGAAGUUCAAACGCCGUAUGGAAAUAGAAGGUGUCAGGUCCUAGGACAGUUGCUGGAGAAAUAGAAAUGAUUCAAUUCCACAUCUUCUUGAUGGAGCUGGGGAGACCAACUCAUGGGAAAGUACACUGAAAACCCCAAACAAGAGAAAACAUCAACGACAUCAGGGCACAGCUAGGAUCAAGCCAUGCACGAGGUACUCUGGGAGAAGAGAGAGGCAGAAAUCAUUUGCAUUAAAAAUAUGAAUGUGAGAUAUUCUGAAUGUAGGUUAAUGGAAUCUAAGCCCAAGACUCUUUUGUUUGGCCUUUAAAAGGGGUCAUUUAUUAAGAAAUCUUUUUCCCUCCCAUUGAUAAUGGAAUAACCAUUUUCUAAUCAAAAUCUCCUUCAGUAGAUUUCUAAAACUCUCAGAGUUCUUAUUUUAACAUCUAUAUCAGAAUGCAACUUGCCCUCAAAGUAUGCAGGCUACAAGUUUCAGAAGGCCCCAAGCAUUUUCCAGCAGAUAUUGGAAAAGUCUCAGCAAUCGGAGCUACUGUGAAACAGAAUCUUAAACUUGGCAAUGAGAAGCAGAGGGAUUCAUUUUUAGAUUUUAAAAAUAAAAAUGUCCAUCUUCAAGUCAACACAUUUCCAUGUUUUGGCAUCUAGAACCAUCUUUAAAAAAAAUAGGACAAAAAUUUUCAGCUUACCUUUGUAUUUAUAAAAGACUUGUUUUUUUGUAAAAAUUCCAUGUUACUGAGUCCUUGCAUGACUUGUUCUAGGAAAUACAACCAGGACUUCUGCAUGCAGACUUCUGGACGUGCCGGCCAUGGGGGUUCACCAGCCAGGACAGGGUGAGAGGCCAACCCAAGCCAAGUGCUUUAUAUAAUUGUCCUAGGCCCUGGGAACCCACCAACACUUGGCCAAUGGCUGAGAAUUUCUCCAACCAAGUGGAAAUGACCAUUUAAAAAGUAGCUUCAAGUUUGUAAUAAGUAAAACUUGGUCUGGAUGCAGAAGUUACAUGGGGCCUUAUCUUAUUUGGCUUGCUCUGAUUUUAUUUCCCAAGCACUGGUUGAUGCUUGCAGGUCUGUUACAGAGCUCUGACUGAUGAGUUCUACUGCCGAAAACUGUGAGGGAUUUCUCUGAACCCUAUGCCUAAUUUAUUCAUUUGCAAAGCAGGGAUGGGAAGGGCAUCUUUCCUAGAGCCGCAAAAGAAGUAUUUGCAUGAAAGGUACUUAAAGUGGUGUCUGGCACUUGGUAAGAACUCAAAAAUGGUCAUUCAUUAUUACAGGUGAAUAAUGAUAACAGCUAGCUAUUCCUGCAAAUCCUCACCAAAAACUUUUACUAAGUGCUUUGAUUGUAUCCACUUUGCAGAUGAAAAUAACUGAAGUGAAAAAGCUAAGCUAAUCUUUUCUAUGGCAUCUCAAGAAAGAUUUCAGGAUUUUAAAUGGAAAGAAGAUCUAUUGGCUUUGAGGUCCAGGUGGACCCAUCUCCCACUCAACCUAUGCAGAGUUGGAGGUGCGCCUAGACUAUUUACAAAACUUUAGACAGAAAAGUGAAAAACUCAGUCUUUCACCCUGUUUCCUUACCUGAACAAGGCCAUACAUAUCAGGGUUUUUUGUUUGCUUUUAAUUUUGUGCCACAGAUUUGACUGAAUACCACAGGUAACGAUGACCAUUUGUAGAAGAAACACCUGUGACGGCAUCUUAUACUCACCUGCCCCCACAGCAAGGUGAGCAGCAGGUGUUGGUGUGGCAGCCUCUCUGCCAAGUCUGACUGUGAGGUGGUGGAGGCAGAAAUGAAGUCCUGGCCUGUUUGAUUUUAAAAGCUCAGGUACUUUUUAAAGAAAAAAAAUGAUCUUUUUACAGUUUGUUUAAAGUCUUGAAGCAAUGGAUCCAAAAAAGCAAACAAAAAAGUGGGAAGAAGACAGUCUCCAAUAAUUCCAUCAAUCAGGGGAGAACAUUUUUACAUUUUGUUUAUUUUCUUCUAAGAUUUGUUCUAUGCUUUAAAAAAAAAUUUAGUGAGAUUACAGUAGAUACAAUUAUUUGUAGUUUGAAUUUAAUUAUUUGGUAAAGAAUUUAGAAAAAGAGAGAUUCUAGUUAUGUAUUUAAAAAUUCCAUAUGACACCCAGAUAAAGUUUAUUUAAAGAAUCCAAAGUGUAUUCAACAGUGGAAAAUCUGUCCAAAUAAUUAUUAAUGGUCUAUGAUAUAAAAAUAAAUUAUCUAAGUAAUUUAAAAUUGAAAAUCAUUUAAUAAAAUGACCUAUAAAUUGGGAUAAAGAAAAAUCCUAGCAUCCUUGAGAUGACAGAAACCUUUCUCAAUCAUAAUUAUCAUGAAUCACCAUCAUGUGGCCCUCAGUAGAGAAACUGUCACACAGUGCCAUUCUGUUAUACUCACACAGUAAAUACAUGUUAAUCACUUAGUGGAGGAAGCCCUUCUAGUGAUGGGGGAAGAGGUGAAUUGGCAACAAAGUCCUAGACUUUGAAGUUAAAUAAGAAAAGGAAAUAAGUUAACUACAGUCUAUUAACAGCAGUGAUUCUGCCAUAAUUUGCAAGCGUUGGUCACAGAGAACCAGCUGAUUAACUGCCAGGACUAGCAAAGGAGGGGCCAGACCUCUCACAUCAGCCAAAAGUUGCAAUGUUACAGUUUGCUGUUGGUAGGUCAAUGAUCCUUUUAAAGCCAACCGCAGUACUCCCCUGGAGCCAGAACACUGAGGAAGCGUUCAGUGCUGAACUUCAACAGAAACGUGCUCAAUCACUUCAAAAAAUUCAUAGUAUUUUAAUAAGGAGCAUGAAAGGGAACUGGAUAAAUUGAGAAAACACUAUGGUGGUGAGUGGGAAGGAUCAACAUCGACAUUCUCCAUAAUUUUUCUAUAAUUUUAAUUCAAUCCAUUCAAACACAAACAGGAGUUUAUUCAUUUAUAUUUUUUUUAAUACAAGGGCCUUAACAAAGUAGUUUCAAAUUUGUUAAUGCCAGGACAGAUCUGAAGCCAUUUAGGAAAAUGCCUUGCACAAAAAUUAUUUUCAUAUUGUCACUUACACUGUAAGGAAACCUAGGUGAAUAUGUUCUGGGCCUUCAUGUUUAUAUGUCUCUUUAACAAGACACAAGAUCAUUGGGCUGGGAAGGUAGCUCAGUGGUAGAGCAUUUGCUUCAUGUGUGUGAGACCCUGGGUUCAAGUACUGAAAAGAAAAAGAAAAAAAAAAGGAAAGACUGGUCUAUCUGAAAAUAUCAACAUUUAAGACUAUAUAUUAAAAAAGUUAAAAUUGACCAAUGGUAAUCUAGGAGAAAAUACCACCCUACAUAUAUUAAAAAUAUAAAGGAAUGAUAUCAAAUGUCUGAAUACCUGCAGAGCACAUGUCAAUAAGCAAAAUAAAAAUAACAACAAAAAGACCAAAAGCCUAAACUGGCCCUGAAGAGUACAGGAAAUCCAACAGGCCAAGAAGCAUGUGAAAAUUGACUUUCCUAAGAAAACAUCCGGCAAAUGUACGUGACAAGAAGAGUGACAUAAAAUCCACCUUCCCAUCAGUUUGGAAAAAUGUUACUGAGUAAGAGUAGCAAGCACUGGUAGAGUGUGAGUGGACACCAUGGAACUGCUAGCGGGGUAUGAGGCUGAGCCCGGCGUGGACCUCCUCUGUGCCUGGAAGAAGGGCCCUGUUCAAACUAAGUUAUGUCCUCAAUAUAGAACCCUGCACAUCAGUUUAAAUUCCUCAGGUCUUUCUGUGUGCAGAUGUUGAGAAACUGCCUUAAUAUGUGUCAAAAAUCAGUAAAACUAAGUGCGGGCCACUAUGCAACCCUCCACCCCAUUCAUAUGAAGCUAUGUCACAUGCACACACGGACCCAUUGCUAUGGCUGUCAUAUCACAUGUAAGCAAAUGCACAGGAAGACAUCCAGAGGGAGAGUUUUAAAAUAUAGCAACGAUUAACUUGGGGGCAAGUAGGCACAUUGUGAAGGACUUCAGUCUGAGCUAGAUGUCUUGAGUAUUUUUUUCAGUGCUGAAAAUAUUUUUGUGUGUGGCUUGCAUAAUAUAGUUUAUGGAGAAUUGGAUUAUAUAAGGAAGAAAUGAAUCUCCUUAAUCCAAAACGUAAUAUUUGUUUAUUCCAAAAAUUUCUCUUGCUCAUGUACCAUUCUUGGGCGGGCUCACUUUCCUAAGUCAUGUCUCUCAGGCAAGUGGUAGUCAUUCCCCUGCACAUGUUCGAAUAGAGUGCUCCCGAAACCCUCAUGCAGUUUGAAGGGACAUUUCUCCACUGAAACUUUAUGUGCUCCCUUGUAGCUAUAUAAAAUAACUGGAAUUACCAUGCAAAUUAAUAAAUAAUUAUGGUAAUAAUCAUCAUCAUCUACAGAAGGUCUUUGUUUUAGGUCAGUUUCAGCUCACAUUUAUACCCCAUAUCUCGUGGGCUCCCCUCCCCCUUCCUUCCUUUCCUCCCUCUUUCCAUCCUUCCACCAUGAUUUUUAGCAUCCACUGUGUACCAGAUUCAGUGCUAAAUCCCAGUGACGUGUAGAUGCGGAGUUCUUGCUGCCUGUCUUCCAGUCACUCUCCACGUCUCAUACAAAUGUUGUAUAGGGUGAGAAAACCAGGAUGAGAUCGUCCCUGUAAAAUAAAAGCAAAAGUCCUGCAUAGAUCUUCAUCAGAUAUUUUCUUAUGUUUCAAGGGCCAGAUCCGGGUCAUCCAGCAGACUUUAGCUUCAAGAGAGGCUGGGAAAUUUAAGGUUUACAUUUUCCAACUUUUAUAACAAAGGCAGGUAAUCAAAAGGAAAGUGGGUCUUGGGUAUGUGUGUUGAGGACGAUGGCACUUGGCACACAGGGGCCAUGCAGAGAAUAAUUUUGUUAUUAAUUUUUAUAGGCAUGCCUGAGUACUGCAGGAGUUCACUCUGGGAUCUUUUGCAUUAGGGUUCACCAGUUCAUGGCAGUGUGUAUUCUAGUGACACCAGACUGGCAUCUUCAUCAGAACCUUUGCCAUCAUCUUCAUCGUCAACCUCCAGUACCUGUAGUAGUGGUGGGAGCAGGUAUACAGUUGGUGCUCAACACAUGCUGAUUUAAUGAUACCAGGCAGCCUGAACACAUCCUGGUGUCAGAGCUGCCCAUAAUUUAGUGCUUCCUUUAGGCCAGACUAUGCAACGAGUCAUUUCAUACACAUGAUUUACUAUAAUCUCAGAGCAGCCUUUUCUGAGUAGCAGAAACUGAGACUUAGAAUUACUUUGCUUAAUAAAGAUCAAAUAGCCAAUAAGUUUGAGAGCCAAUGAGUAAACCCAAUGGAUGCUGGAUUUGUAAUCUCCACUGGCAUUCGCUCCAUCCUGUGGAUGCCAUAUGCAUAGGAAUUAUUAGCACUUUGUUGCCGUGUCUCUUAAGAAAUCCAUUUCUUUAAAAGAAAUAUUUAAAAAGAUGAGUUCUUUGAGCACCGCAAACAAUGCAAUUUUAGGAAAUAUAAUAUUUAUAGGACUCUGCAAUUAAUUUACAAAUUUUUUACAUCAAAAUUCGCCCUGAUGAUCUUAUUCUUUGGGGACAACAAUUGUCUCCUCCGUGAUGUUUUCCUACACUAAAGGCAAUUAUUGUUGCUUCUAGCUGUAAUAAAAAAAUAACCGAAACAGAUAGAAGUGUCUUCAUCGAAAUUGAGCUGAAACUCCCACUGUGGAAAUAAUCAGAAAAUUAAAAGCUCUGCAAUCUUGCAAAUAACAUUGCAACUUAAUAUUAUUGGAACAUAACAUUAUUAUCUCUUUUUAUAGGGAAAACAAACAUAAAUAUAUUUUCAAAUGACACCAUGAUAUUAGUUUUAUUUUAUUGGAUGGGGUGGGAGUGGAGAAAACACAAUAACUUUUUAGGGUCGAGCAAAUGAAACAAUGGGAAUUUAUGAAAAAUGAUCAGCCGCACAGGGUAUGUAUGCUAGGACUCUCAAUUUCAGGAAAAUCAUCCCAAUACAAUGUGGCCCUACCCCAGCUCCUUCUGUGUGGUUUUUUUUUUUUUUUUGGAGG
RNAcentral lists this long non-coding RNA (83238 nucleotides) under Marmota monax (woodchuck). Lineage: Eukaryota; Metazoa; Chordata; Mammalia; Rodentia; Sciuridae. The record is from RNAcentral.